GAAUUGCGAGCAGCGCGCUGGCAAGGAAGCGGUUAGCUCGCUCCAGGGCGGCGUCUCGUCUGGGCCAGGUGUCCGCGCGGGCGUACAUUGAGAACUUCGCAAUGUUGCUCCAGAGGGCGUAUUCAAGAGUGUUGUAAGACACAACCACAAAGUGGUGGUAUCGAAAAACACCGAUUGAGAUAAGUGCUUUGAUGAAAUAGCCGUUGUAGAAUCCACGCACUUGGGCUUCGCGCCGGUAAACCCCCCUGUACGACUGGGCGACGCGACCUUCAGAUGACCGUAAUUCAAACAGGAAUUAGUUUCGAGUCUGCUGACCAGACGAAUCAUGGACGCAUGUCCCAGCUUUACUCAGGUAAAGCCCCCGUCCAUACGCAGGUAUGGACUUCCGCAGCAGUGCGGCAUUAAGAUGGCGAUCUCGGCCAACAGUAGUCGCAAGCCGCCGGUUAAUAAUAGAAUUAGGCAGUCCUGUAAACAUAGACAGUACAUGCUGACAUGCUUAAGUUAAUUGUAGCAAUAGUUGAGAAGACCUAACAGAUCGGGCCUCCAAAAGAAAGAGCCGCGAGCUUAACAGAAUUGCCUACAGGAUACAACAAAGCGCAAUUAACUCGGCCCCCACUGCACCCUCACAGCAAAUCCGCAAGACGUUCUGCACCUCCUCUCCGCUAACAAAUAAGAGGAAAUAAGUUGUUGCCUGGGCUGGGAGAGCGCCCCGGUUGGCGUGAGUGAGGGAGUGAGGCGCGCGCGGAGGAACAGACGGACGUAGAGCCGCGCGCCCGCCCCUGCGCUGUGUCUCGGCCCGGUCAGGGCCCCCGGUGCUCGAGCCGCCCACAGUAUAACACCCCAUCAACUUCCGUUGGAACCAUUGUGUGGAGGGCUUAGAGAAAUAAAUUGUUUCAACGCGCCGCCCUCAACAAAGUGAACUGGAGGAUGAGAUAUCCCUGUGGCCGAUUACCAACGCAACAAUCUACAAGCUCCGCAUGAAUGCGACGGGCCCCCCUCCGUAAAAGCUGGAGGCCCAUGGACUAUCUUGCCCUACUCGCCUGCGCUGCGCGCGCUGUGCUCGGUCUCCCAGGCCUUCGACUGCUAACAAUAUUCCUAACCACACCCUAACCACACCCAUAGACAGCCAUAAAAAUAUAAAUACGAGUUCCCCGGACCGACUAGCGACCUCUACUUCUUCAGUCUUGCGCUAUCCCUUCUGAGAUAAAUCCGCUAGGUUUUGCGAGCAACCUAUUUGUAUACCUUUCCAAGAAUUAUUUGUAUAUUAGACUAGACAGAUUGUGCUUCGUUCGCUACGUAUGCAUGUCAGCCGGCAUGUCAGCCGGCAUGUCAGCCGGCAUGUCAGCCGGCAUGUCAGCCGGCAUGUCAGCCGGCAUGUUAGCCAGCACGUCUGGCGAGGAUGUUGGAACGUAGUAUGUGGGCUCACCGAAACUCAGUUACCCCCUUUGGACGCUAGUCUGGGCUGAUGUGCGGUGUUUCCUUUCCUCCGUGGCUUUUAGGCGUUGUAGUAUUGCCCUUGGGCCUUCGGCUCGUAUGGAUAGUUUUACAGGUAUGGGGUCACGCACCCCCCAACCAUGUAACACACACACACACACACACACACACACGCAUGUCAAUGUCCCCAUUUCCUUGGGAUGAAAAGAAGAGCAGUGUGCAACAGGGUUACAGCGGAUAUGCGGAUAUGCUUGCUCUGCAUCACACCGAAAACCCCUGGACGACCAACGUCACAUCGCUGACCCUGAUCUGCUGCCCUCGGCUCGUAUUGGGCGGUUUGCAGGUACGGAGAACGCACCCCACGACCAUGUACAACAUACACACACAUAUACACACACAUAUACACACACACACACACACACACACACACACACACACACACACACACACACACACACACACACACACACACACACACACACACACACACACACACACACACAGCUGACCCCGAUCAGCUGCUGCACUACCAAAUCUAACGAAUGACCGAUAGCGGCAAGCCUGAGCGCUUCUAAGUACUCUAUUCCGACAGUACUUGUUUUGUUAGGUUGUGGUUAGGUAAAAGUUAGGCUUCUUACAGGGGUCGGUUUUCUGUUGAACCCCCACUCGCCGGUAUCUCGCAGCCUGACGAAAUUAAAAGCUUAAUAAAUCGAUUCUAAAUCAUAAAGGAGAUCCCUAACUAAAUGGUGAUUAAUUUAGGUAAGCGGUAAAAAGAUAUCUAUCUUGUUGCCUUGUGCUUAAUAGUACGUUAGCUCUAAAAGGCUGAUGCGCGAGAAGUCUCUAGCGCAUAUACAUUUGCACAUAUACAUAAUUAAAUUCGAUAAUAAUCUAUACAAUGCUGAGAUCUUUAACCAGGAAGGUAGAAAGGGCUGCAGAGCGAAAGCACGCGCCAAUCAUACGCCUGAUUUGUCCCAGAUGGCAUAGCCAGCACCAAUUAACACAUAAAAAUAAAGCCACUACAUUAACCCAUCCAUGUAUCGUCACAAGGUUUGCGCCAUUACUGAGACCAGACGGGGUCCAACCAGGUUGCGCGAAUCCCUACAAUUCCUUGUCUCCCGCACGUCAUGCGAGGAUGUUGGAACGUAUGUGGGCUCACCGAAACUCAAUUACCAGUGUUUUUUUUUCAUUUUUGCCCGACAAUUUUCCAGUCCGAACGGAGGAAUAGGUUUUUAAUCGCGGGAAUUAAGGUAUUCCGAAUCUGUCAGGCGCUGGGANNNNNNNNNNNNNNNNNNNNNNNNNNNNNNNNNNNNNNNNNNNNNNNNNNGGGCUACGCCCCCCCCAGACCCCCCCCAAUGAGGUUUUGUUUUGUUCGUACAAACACAGGGUUUGGGGAAUGUCGCAACACGCGCACACCACAAUCUCUCCAUAGAGGUGUCUCUUGCACGCCAGGAAGCGGGGGCCACUUGGACGCUGCACGGGUGACUGCUGUUGCAGAGCCCAAGCAAACACACACCAGUUAGACCCUACUCAAGCACUGAUCAAAUAGAGUUCGUUCGCCGUCGUUCAUUUUGCAUCACGUUGAAAGAUAACACUAUACGACUUUCCAGAUUGCAAAAGUAAUGAUGCAUAGCAGCAAUGAACCAGAACCGCCAAACACAACCUCUGCAGUUGGUUGCGGCCCCUGCUGUUGAUGCUGCAUGCUAAUUAGCGGUUCAUCAUGUACCGGCUUGCUGAUGACAACAAGAGUGGCAUCAUUGUCGUCGGCUGGCUGCAGCAUUGCGUCCACAUUGCCUACGGCCUCUAGGCCGUCUUCAUUACCGUCGCUAAUGGCUUCAGUGAAGUUUAAUAUCUUCUUUAAUGGCCUUCCACGUUUUGGGAGCUUCGGGUCCGAAUAUUUUGCAGCGUUUGGUCCGGUCAGAAAAAGUCCGAUUCCUCGUUGACUUUCGGGCGUGACCUUCCUAACAGUAUCCAUGGCAUUAAAGUACUAUAAUAUGGUUAACAUGUUUGUCUCCUGUAAGAUUCUAGCGGCUUUGGCAUGGACAGCCCAUUUUUGGCUGAAGGAAUGAACUUGUACGGUCGGAACAUUAUUUAUUCUUAAUUUCCAGGACCGCGAACAUUUUUUUAUUCCGAAUUCGGAAUAUAUUCCGCAAAAAAAAACACUGUCAAUUACCCCCUUUGGACGCUAGUCUGGACUAGACACAGCGUUCCCGGCCUCUUAACCACGGAGUUCCAAAACCUAAAUACAAGAUUUGACCAUGGAGCUGGAGCGGCCUCUGUGACAGUUCACAGUAGAGGGAAGUCAUAGUCUCACCUCGCACUUGCCUACCUCGCGCCCAUGCCGCUUAAUUUGCUGCGGACUCAUCGACAUACCGUCGACGAUCUCAAGUGAAACACACGAUUUCCAGUUGCCUGGGUGGCCGGAUCGGCUCUUGCUCGGUGAGAGUUUCGACAUGUUGACUUAGGAAAAACUUUCUCCCCGGUCCCGAUCUUCCGACAUUGCGGGAAUCAAACCAGCGACUACUUUGCGUAGCGGCCAGCCCUAAUAAGGACCUUGAACCUAUCAAAUCAAGCAUAGCGUCGGACGAUAACAUCACCCUGCCCUGCCCUGCCUGCCUUGCCUUUCUGGCUUGAGUCCUAUGUCUGCUCCACAUUUCGCUUGUAAAUCUUAGUGUCAGUCAUUUUCCAACAUUACGAAGGAAUAAGGAAAUAUGGCGUUCGCAACCUCCAAACGGAGCUUGCUUCCUGUGAGCUGCCAGGUCGUGAUCAGGAUUAGUUUAUCGCGUUAUCGCGUUAGCCUAAGGGCUGUCUGAUGCUGGCUAGAAUUCUCUAAAAGGCCUGGCCCUUAAGACUGUAAAGGACAUGUUGGUAAUAAAGGGAAUUCUGCUAGUUUCUGAGGUUUCUCCCCAGGCGGGCAUACGUUGUGUGCUGAUUUGUAAUUUAAUGUGCCGUAGCUGCAGGGAUAAAAGAUAUUCGAAUGAAACCUGUAUUAAAAAUGUCCUUAUGCGGCUGAAAUAGCGCUGUCCUUGUUGUCCUGGCGACGCCGUGCCCGCUCGUUCCAGCUCGUUCCAGCUCGUUCCAGCUCGUUCCCUUGCUUUGUCAUCUUCCCCUGUAAAUUCCUGCUCGAAUUGAAGGCCUUCGGUAAACAUCUCGCGCUGUCCAUAUAACAUGUAAUUAUUAUACGAGUGUCGAUCAUAUUCCAACACUCCUGUGUCGCCGAGCGAUGGACGCUGCCAUCACCAACUGCAGUUGGGCCGCGCUUACCCAAACUCCAACAAUGAUGCGUAGCUGUUAAUCAGCAGGGCAGCAUGUUCGUUUCGGCACCUCACAGCUAUAGGCGCAUGUAUAUGCAUGCGUCGAAUGAGCUUGAGGAAAUACACCUUUGCUUGAUAUCCAGGCAUGCAGAUCCGAAUCAGAGAGAUCGACUUCACAGCAAAAAUGCCAAAAACAUACUAUGAUUUCUUAUUGAAGCUUAAUAAACCUAUCAUGACGGUAAACAAGCAUCGCGAAUAAGAAAAGAGCACCGCCCUUGCAAGUAGUGCCGGCAGCGACAACACCGCAGCCAUGCUCAGCUCACGACACGGCCCAGAAAAGCAGUUUCGAAACUGUGACAUGUUGUGCUGCUGGAAGCUACCACGAGAACAACAGCCUGAAAACCUGCGAACCUUACGCUACGGUUGCAUUCCAGCCUCUGGACAUAGUUAAGCAUGGGCGGAUAAAGUUCCAUAAAGAUACAUGUUAGAAGAUACAUGUUAGAAUGUUGUUUCGUUUGAAGUGCGAGGUAGGAUGGUGCUUAUAGGCGAUCUGGCAGCCCUUGAGCCCUCGGCUCGUAUUAGGGUGGUUUGCAGGUACGGGGAACGCACCCACGACCAUGUAACCACAGCAACAUGUUAGAAGUUCCGUACACAAGUGCGGGUGUGUCCGUAAAAUCAGGGGGCCCAUAGACGUUCUAUUGAUAAUGAGCGGGUAGCGGGGGCCCAUCAUCAUCCUCCCUCGUUCGCUUCAGGGCGAAGCGCCUCAGCACGACGUGCCUGGCCUCCCAGAUUUCCUAGAGGUACCUGGCCAAUGCCAGGGAUGGCGCCUCAGUCAUAAUGGUGCGCAUGCUGCGCCCCUCAAAGACUAGGUCACCAUCGUACUUAGCCCGUAUGCUCUUGUAAGCGGGGCAUUCAUCAAAAACGUGCAAUUCAUCUUCAACCGCUCCACAGUCACAAAGCCUGCAGGUACGCGCGGUGCACUCACGCCCAUUAGGCCUAUUAAACGCUUAACUCCCAACGGCCUAACCAGAAACGUAUGAGCACUUGAUGCAGUCGCUGGGGCAUGGUUACUUUAGUGUGCUCCAGCCAAUCGAGACGCACACCCCUAGGCGGGGCCGCUCCCAUCCAGUUCAUAUAGCGAUAAGCCUUAAGCUUGGCUCCGGUAAUCCCUAUGGGGAAAACGCGGGGGUCACCAAAAGUAUUCGGACACCCCCACCGUGCAUCAAUACCUUAAGAAUGCUCUCGACCGGCAAUUUAAGGGUGGCGUAAUGCGCUAUGAGUUCAUCACCGCGCGUAUUAGUGGGGGUUUCUGCUCCCACGCUAGUAAGAAAGGCUAGUACCUAGCUUGUCCAGCACUCAGUAACGCCAACGAGUGCCAAUUCUAGGUCAGCGACAAAUGCCCGAUGACACAGCGUUCCCGGCCUCUUAACCACGGAGUUCCAAAACCUAAAUACAAGAUUAGUCCAUGGAGUUGGAGCGGCCUCUGUGACAGCUCGCGGUAUAGGGAAACCAUAGUCGGGCUCCUCACCCCAACUACAGAUCGCAUGUACGCACGCUGCUCCUGGACCAUGGGAUUAGUCAUAGCGCCUUCAAAACUCACAUUUAUGAAGUCAGGGUCCCCAAGCUUGCGCUCCAUAGGGAAUCACCGGUACGACUAGUGUAUUAUAGAGAGACAUACAUAGCUUGGGGACGGUAAUUUUCUUAUCUCGACAGAGUGCUGAGCCCGAACGUGGCCCGCCUCCCUGCUGUGAGUAGUUGCUUGGUACAUGCUGAAAACUGCACUCCCGGGCCAUAGUGCAACCCGAGGUACCGUGCAGUCUCGUUGCCGGUCAGCACCUGCAACCCCCACCCCACCUAGCCGGUACUCAGCUUCCAUAAGCCGCUUCCGCUCACGCGUAGUGCCCUCGAAAAUGAGGACUUCACACUUGGCGGAAUUCGCGGCCGUACCCGUCGACUUGCAGUAGGCUUCGAGUAGCCCCAGAAGGCAUUCAGCUCUAUCGUGCCCAGUCGCCACCAGUGACCCAUCGUCAACGAAAAGCAGGUUGGUGAGUUCACCGCCCGCCAGGCUAACACUCUGCUCGCGGAGGGUGCUCCAUCGGCUAGGAAGGCGUACACGGCAAUCAGCAUCGUGAGCAUCAAUGUAAUGAGCGAAUACUUCUAUGAAGAGUCCAAAAAGGGUUACGCUAAGGGGCCACCCUUGCUUCACACCACGCCCUACCGUGAAUUCAGGUCCCAACCUAUUCCCAACUUGAUCCGAAACUUCACGUCAGCAUAGCUAGCCUUCAGAUAAACAAGGACGCGCCCGUGUAGUCCAUACGACUUGAGGAAGCCCCAUAGUGUCUCACGGUCAACGGAGUCGAACGCCUUACUAGAGUUAAUCUGAGUCAAUUUGCAUGAUUAUAAGCGACCUGGCUCCGGCCACAAAUUGCUUUCAGAUAAGAUGCCUCAAUGUAAACAAAGUGGUUAUCGGUGCCAAAACCAUGCCUACAUCCAGCCUGGCUAGCGGCACGUAGCCUGUUGCCCUCACAGUAAUUGGUGAGUCGCCUCCCAAUGACAUGGGCGAAAAGUUUGCAAAGUGGGCCCCCAACCGCAAUGCCCCGAUAAUUGUCACAGCAGGUAGCGUCCCCUUUUUUUGAAAACGGGGGAAAAGGUGCUAGUUGUGAAUCCUCGCGGGUAUUUAGCUCCGUAUAUGCGGUUGUAUAGCACCGUUAAGUAAGGCGCCAAUACAAACACGGGCUGCUGCCCUUCACUUUCCUUGAUAGUGUACUUAUAAUACUCGGCCGGAGUUCCUCCCGGUCCCCCGACUUCUUGUUGCGCAAAGCCUAAAUAUAUACCCCCUCAAAACAAUGCAAAAAGGAAGCCAUAGAUAUAAACCCUAAAACAAUGCAAAAAGGAAGCCAUGUAUAUAACCCCUCAAAACGAUGCAAAAAGGAAGCCAUGGCCACGAGGUUGUCAUCAAACGUCAUUAGGGACGGCAGAGAGAUCGAUCACCCGGUUGAUUAAUCUUAUAAGAGACUAUCUAGCGAGUGAUAGCUACGGCAUGCUGUUCGAUCGAUCGCUGGAUCGAGUGGCAUCUGCCUCCACCUGCUGCUGCGAAUAGACGCACGCGCGGUUGCGCUACACUGGGCAUUACUACGGACGUGACCAGCGGCUCGUGAGCACAGCGAGGCCUUGUGCUCCUCGGAGGUCAGCCGUGCUCGCUAGCUAGCUGGCUGGCUGGCUAGGCAGACCAGACGGCUGCUGGACCAGUAAUAAGAGCUCUGCGCCCUGCCAAUCGCAUGCUUUAUGCCUUAUGUACACAUUCAGAGCGAACGCGUAGAUCACACACGCACAAUAAUCAUAACCAGUACACCACCACGCUUGUUUCGCAUUACAAGCGCACGUGCUUAUCGUGGUCAGUUUCCUUUUCCUUCUGAUGGUUGGUAAUAGAUAUUUCAAGGCAUGCACGCACUGGCAUAAGUCUAGCAAGUUCACUUUCGAUUCACACUUCAAGGGUUAUCCAAGCACCCGGACUCGGCACAUCAUACGACCAGCUCUAUCUUCACCUUUCAGAUAGACCCUCGGCUCGUAUUGGGCGGUUUGCAGGUACGGGGAACGCACCUCACGACCAUGUAAAACACACACACACACACGCAGAUAGACAUACAGACUUCUGCGCCUGCCUCCUGCCCCACGCCUGCUCCUCGUAAUCUUCCUUUUUAUUUUUUCGAAAUGUACGAAUAAUGCAAUAUCAGUCCACAGUAGGCAUUAAUGUGUCCCGCAGCGUGGUGAUCGACCCAUCACAUCUCCUACCUUAACUCCAAUCGAUCUACCUUACGACACCUUAUUAACAGUCGCCUUACCCCUACCUGGACACAAACGUGUUGAGGGCAAAAAAAAUUAUAUGACAGCGGUUUUCUCCUGCCUCGCUAGCUGUCGCACAAUGAUGUGGUCGGACAACAACAAGAAUCAAGAUACGAGCAGCUAGACUGACGACGUCGCAUCACAACUCGUGGGUGAUCGAUUUGAAGUGCAGGUAUGCCCGCCCCUUGCGGCCCCAUAGCCCGUUUAGAGACGCGCACAGCUCCGAGACUGUUCCGACCAGAGGCUCAGGGCCCGCCGCGUACACAGCGACACGCAGUUCCUCUAGCGCUAAGUCCGCAGAACUGAAGUUCGCAUCCAACAGCUCGCCGCUGGUGGGUCCGGUGGCGUUGACAUCGGGUGCGAUGCCGCCGGUCAUAGCAACCUGGUGCAACAGAGUCAACAGGUCGGGCCUGCCGUACUUGAUGUACGACGUGAGAGCCUUGGCGGGCGUGGGGAAGGAUGCCUUCUUAGGCGCGUCGUCGAGGCUGGUCCUAAUCGCGGUGCUAACGGCCUGGUCGUUAGACGACCGGAAGCUGCUUGCAGUAGUUCGAAACGAUGCCCAUGUGAUCGGUCGCGCAAGUCGCCUAUGCACGUGGGCGCAGGGGCAAAGGAUAAAGGUUGGGGGAUUCGAAAAUUAUGCACAUUCGACCCGUCAGAAGGACAACAAAUUGCUGCAAGUGCUGGUAUUCUAUCCAAGCAUGACACGAAUGCAAAUGAUUCAAUCCAAUCAACUCGUACAGCGGUUGAAAUCUAUAGAGCCUUAGUCAUCAUUAACUGCAAAAAGCGCCCCAACCUACCUCCACAAAUGCGCCCCCAGCAUAAGUACUGCAGGCGGUAAUGUCGAACCAAGGCCUAGCGCAGCGAAUUGCAUCAUGCCCACGAACGAAAAGUCAUUCCGUACGGUCACCGUACGAGACAGAUGGGCAUCGUACGCCUGCGAGCACAUCAGCCCUGCAAAACCGCCUGUGAAACUGAGCACCACAGCCGCCAUCCACAGCAGCGGGCUAAACAUGUACGGGUGAGACAGAGGCCUGCAUACGCGGAGGCGGCGUGAAGUGUGCGGGGGCAUGGUCGGGGUUGCGUUCGUUGCACGUUUUUAUAAAUGGAUAUGUCAUAAUAGCUGGUAGACAGGUCGGUUGUAAUAAUGCUUAUGUAAGUAGAUAAAGCGAGGGCAUCGGGGGCCCAUCGAAUUUUCACUAGGCAAUGCAGGAAGCCUUUCCUUACCCGACCUGCAGCGGGGAUAUUUUGCUUGUUGGAAACUUAAAAAUUCCUACUUUGACAGAGGGAACAAGCCCAAGGAAAAUGAAUAUUUACGGCGGUCGGCCUUUUAGAAAAAAAUCAAGCGGGGCAACUCAAAACCCAUGCGCCCCAGCUCUAUAUAUGCUUACCGAGCAGCAGUCGCCAAGCCACCGAAAGCAUCUUCAUCUCCCGACGGAAGCUUAGCCCCGGAAAGCCCCUCUCCGAUAGCUUGGGGCGUCAUGACAGAAUCAUUGCUGCUGCGGCUCCCAGAACCCGGCGGCGCGGUACCCUCUAGGGAGGCUUUUCCGUCGGCGGCGGCCUUGGCGGCGACAGUGGUGACUCCAGCGGCUUGUGAGUGCUUGCCAUCAGGCGCUGCGGUCGACGACGUCAGGUGCAGAUAGAGGUCCACACCGGAAGCAACCCUGGCGGAGUGAUGGCGAGUUAAGAGGCAGAUGUGUAGGUCAGGGCAGGGCACGGAAUCCGGAAUGUGGAGCUGUAAUGACAUGUUUAGACAAUAUUUGUAUUCUAAUCUUAUCUGUAUCACUAUUGCUUGGUAUCCAUUCAGAUCCCCACUGCACUCACCAUUUGGACGUGCAAUAAUGUGCGUGUGUGUUACACCUAGGCUGUCGUACCUAGAGCGGUGUAAUGAGACCGUACGAGCCAGAGGCCCAAGAGCUUAGAAGCCACAAGCUAGAGAAUACCAAUCUGAUACUAUGACAUCCUUGUAGAUAGGGUCUGGUAUUGUACUCGCCAGUGCGCUUAUCCAAGGGCGAGCCCUUCCGUUGGCCGUAGCUUAGAAGCUAAACAACUUGGCACUCACGAUAGAGCUAACCGAGCUACCCGAGAAAGGGCCAACCCGCCAACUUCUCCCUCAAAUCACUAACCCCUGAAUGAGCCGCGCACAAGCACAUACACAGCGGGCCCCGUCGCUUUUCCCCAGGACCGCAAACGCACCCGUCACUGGCAGCCUGCAGAAUCUCGUACGGCAGGGCACGCAGCUCGUCCAUGGUACGACUGACCCAGACCAGGAUGAUGCGAUCAGCAUUAGAUCCCUUCCCGGCGGGCUGUUGGCGACGGGCGGCGAGCAGCUCCAAAAUCAUCCCCAAAGCGGGAGUGAUCUGGGCGGCAGAGGAGAGCGGGGUUGGACAGGAAAGGGUCGGCAGGGACGAGGCUCGGAAAUGGGGUUGGCGUUGGUCAGGACGACAACAAUGAUCAUCCUAAAACCCUCAGUUUUACAGGUAUGGGGUCACGCACCCCCAACCAUGUAACACACACACACACACGCAGACAACAAACGAUCGAAUCUUAGGCUCCGAGCGGUAAUUUACAUUCCAGGACGUAGCAAAUCAACAGGCUCUGCGAAAGGCGUAUGACCCUCUUCUAGGCAUUUCUAACGGAACCGAAAGGCCUUCCGUACACGGUCGCCGAGUCUGUAUCUAAUUCGCAGGUGCUAUCCGCGAUCCCAUCCAAUCCUUUUCCAUCAGGCAGGUAAUCAAUCAUGCAUUUCAAAGGUUAGCUUACCCCAACGCCACCCGCCACGAAGACGUGUGUGUCAAACUUCUUCAUCCACUUGCGAUUGCUAUUGUCGUACGGUCCACUGACGUACAGAGCAAGGGGAUCGCUUGACACUCGCGAAAUGAGGGCCUGAGGGGUAUACGAGGGGAUAGAGCAGCGAAUUGUAAAAAAGGAGAGGAAAGCAAGUAAACCGAAACGCAACUCACGCGUCGAAUACCGGUCGUGGAGUUGUUUCGUCUGCAAGCAUGCUACAUAAACGCCCUGUCCUGUACAUGUACGGCCUACCUUCGUCCAGCGGUUGUACUUCUUGAUCUUGAGCUCCAUGAUGUUGGCGGCGGAGGGCUCGGAGGCGAUGGUGAAGGGGUGCCACUGGAACCAGCUAACAGCGGGCACGUUCAGGAACACGGUGUCACCGCCCACCCAGUGGAUAGACUGCGAGGAAAAUAAACAUGAUGGGUGGGCCGAAUUACACCCGUUGUAUAUGGAUUUCAUAAGCCUACAAACAACCACCAAAAAGGUCAGAUGAUUCACGAAAAUGACUUUAAAGUCUGCAAAUUUGCAGCGGCGUCGGCCACAGCGGCCGACACGACCGCCUGGGAGGUAUUUCAUUGAUAAAGCAGAGCAUUAGACACCUUCCGUAAGCCCCUUCCCCCUCCACACCAUCCACACACAAGCGGCCCUAAGCACCUCGUGGCAGCGGAUGCUGAGUGAUAGCAGCUCCCCGCCGUUUGGAGAAGACAGUCGGGCGACUGCCGCACAAGUAGAAGAGAAAGGGAAGUUGACCUCGGCCCCCGUAGCCGCCGGCGCUAUCUUCAUCUUCACACCGUUGAAGUUCUGCUGCAGGGUGCGGAGUACCACGUCGACAAGGUACAGAAAGAUGCCUGCGUGCAUGCGCACAUGUAGAAGAACAGAGGAGAUAAGGGAGAGGGCGAUGGCGCAAACAUGGGAGGGUAGCGCAUCCAUGCUUGGUGUGCUUUUGCGCGUUUCUACGAUCGUGCUGUUUGUGCGUCUUCGUCCUGUGUGGCGAAUGUCUUCGCACGUGUCAUGCAUCCAGAUGAUAAGCCCGGGUUGCAGGCUGCGGGCCGGGGUUCCAGCGCGAUGAUGAUGAUGAUGAUGAUGAUGAUGAUGAUGAUGAUGAUGAUGAUGAUGAUGAUGAUGAUGAUGAUGAUGAUGAUGAUGAUGAUGAUGAUGAUGAUGAUGAUGAUGAUGAUGAUGAUGAUGAUGAUGAUGAUGAUGAUGAUGAUGAUGAUGAUGAUGAUGAUGAUGAUGAUGAUGAUGAUGAUGAUGAUGAUGAUGAUGAUGAUGAUGAUGAUGAUGAUGAUGAUGAUGAUGAUGAUGAUGAUGAUGAUGAUGAUGAUGAUGAUGAUGAUGAUGUNNNNNNNNNNNNNNNNNNNNNNNNNNNNNNNNNNNNNNNNNNNNNNNNNNUUACAGUUAUUAACUUUGGAUCUAUGGUACGAUGAGGGGAACGUUCCGCAAUUUGUAAAAGGAACGCUAGCUAGGGUUCUAUAUCACCUGGCAUGACCCAGGUAGCGACGUCCUUCCGGUGCAUGAACCCGAACAGCAGGAACAUGGUCGCGCCCAAGAUGUGGCAGCUGUAAAAGAGGCUGUAGAAGCGGCGCCGGACGAAACUCAAGCUGGUUAAACACAACAGCCAGCCGCCACACAUGGCCACAAGGCCGGAGAGCCGGUUGACGCCCGCACCCAUGUUCCAGUCAAGCAUGGUCGACAAACUGCGGGCGGGAGCGUUCAAGGCAUGUAGGAUGCGAAAGCGAGGGGGUUAGGGAGAGAACCUAUAUGUACGUCUCUCAACUUAGGGACAUAUUAUGUCGCAGCGGACAACAAUAGAGCACACUGUUGGAGUUGGCGCAAGCAGACGAAAACGUCCACACAGUAGCGACACAACACGAUGGGCAGGGCAGAAUUAGCGGAUUUUCGUGGUUUGACUGAAUCCUGUUGGGAGUACAAAAUUGUUCAGGAUCGCCAGUCCACAACAAAAAAGGUAGUAAUGAGGCCGAAAAGGACAAACAAUUCUAAGCACAACGAGAGGUGAGUUUUUUUGAAAACAAAUCAGCGUCAAUUUUCAACAAACAGGUGAUGAGUAGAGGCGGUUCAAACGAAUGCAUCGUGGCGAGUCUUGGGCAGGCGCAGCUGGCUCACUUAAACCUUCAGCGGGAAGGCAGGUAAUAGCACGUAGUUUCCAACCAUGGCAUAAUGCAAUCCCUUUGAUAUGGAUUGGUGCAACGGUUCGUUUUUCACCGUCAUCAGUGACUCACACGCCACUGUGCGCCCAGAUGCUCAGAUAGGUGAUUCCAUGGAGGGAGUAUACCAGCAGAGUGCCUUGGCCCAGCCACCUGUAGGGAAUGCAGCAGCGAACGGCGGGCGGAAGGACGAUGACAUACGUGCGAUCUAUGUACUUCUUGCGCGUGUAAGUUGCACGAACGUGUGCACAGGUGACUUCUAUCCCUUUACUCGUGGGGUAGCGGACUACGCACACAACAUCAAAAACCAACAGAAGCGCACUCCUGCGCCACUGACAGGCAACUCUGUGGGUGAUCUCAUCUGCUCGCUUCGCUUUGUGGACAUGAACACCUAUCUUUCCCAGCCGACGGUGAUGCUAAUGAUGUCCAUCAGUCGUUUUGGUGGACCCACCACUGUCCCUCCCACCUGUGGUACUUGACCAUUGAGGCGAAAUCGGAUCCCAGCAGCCAGUGCAGAAAAUUGCAGCGGGGUAGUGGGAAGAACAGCAGCAGAAUGUCCAGACGCCCGACCCAGCCAGAGUACUUGGCAACGCUGUGGGAAGGAAGCAGACACAUACAAAAUAUGUGACACGGGCUUGUGGGCAAGAUGGGUUUCCAGGAAAUUAUUCAUCAGCGAAGCAUUGCGGAAAAGAAGAGGUUAAUUAAUAUCCACGCUCCACCGCCCUCACCUGUCUUGAACAACUUCUGGAAGGGGCUUGAGCUUCUUAGCAGCUGGCGGCGGGGACAGCGCUUUGGCCGGUGUCGAUGAAGACGAUCCGGGCUUGGCACCAGUGCUAGUUGAGUUGCCCGCGGGGCUGCUGCUGCUGCUGUUGCUAGGCGGGGGAGAGGAGGUCUGCAUCAACCGACGUAAGGAUCCGCGAACCUCUAUGCUUGAAUUGGCGUUGGAGGUGGUGGUGGUGGAGGGCGGCGGUGGCGGUGGUGUAGCUGUUGUCGAGGGCAUGGCCGCUGAUAGGCGGCUGGUGUUGGUAAUGGAAGUUGACAGCGACGGCGAGGAUGAUGGCUUGCUGGACAGCGGCGGGCUCCGUAUGACCGCUGCGGUUGGAACCAAGUCUUAGUUAAAAGGAUGUAUUGCAGUUGUCUGAAUGACGGUUAGUGGGACGUUUAUAAUGAAAUAAGACAACUCAAUACCAUCAUGUAGCAAUUCAGUUGAUGAGGAGGCCCGGCCCCGAGCAUGCAACAAUUAGUUAAUGGCGGUGCCUGCAUCCUCUGGCCGUGGCAUGGAGACUUCUCCACCCCAGUUGACAAUAACUGACAUGACUGAUAACUGACAUGAUAACUGACAACCAGUAACCAACAAUUGCAACGGCAUGGCGUCGUCACCCAUCGAAAACCGCCAAGUCACCGACGAAGGAUGCCCUGCAGGAACUUCCCCUCCUAUCAGCCAGUCCGCACCUUUUGGUGGCGGUGGGGCCGCACGCCUGCUGUCUAGUACACGCAUCGUCAUCUCGCGCAACCAGAGGAUAUGCAGGCCCAGCCACAGCAGCACCAGCAGCAAGUCCAAAACAGACAGCCCCUCGGGACCCCGGAUGGACCGCCACAAGCCGCGAGGGGGGACCUGAUAGCGCAGCAGCCGCCGGACGCGAAUGACGGCCUGCGAGAUCAAAGCAUCGAUGAUCGGAUGAUGAUCUAUGUAACCAGCCCAUGUCAGCGGUGCAUGUAUACGUAGAGGCAUGGCUGUAAGUUAUUAUUGUCGCAGUUCGUUUGGACACGAAGUUCUAGAACAGAAGGCGAGUCCAUGGAUUGUAGGAAGUACAGAGGUGACGAAAGUUCCUCUCGACUAUGACCACCUUCCCACCAGAAUUCAAAAAUGCAAGCAGGGGUGUUGAGUUAUGAGGGCAGCGGAUCACUUGAGCUGGAUAUGUAUCUCUUACCUUUCUCGCAGCAGCACCAACAGACCAGGAUAGACCGCUAGCGCUCUUUUUGACUGGUUUCGGCGGGUGCGACAUGGAGGCUUUGUUGGCGGCAGCAGUAAUGGAAGACAGCCACAGCAGGCCAGCUGAACCGAGCGCCACUGCCAGCGUGCCGCACCACUGCCAUAUCAACUGCGAUGGCCAAUGAAGGGAUGGGGCCCCGUUGAGAACUUGGAGACGCAAAGCAACAAGAUAAGCAAGCUGGCUUGCUGCGCCAAUAUGUCCGGUAUGUCUGAGAUUCUCUCCCCUGGUCUCAAUGUCUCAGUGCCCAGAAUAAAAGCAAAGUGCUGAGAAUAAAGCAAAGUAUGAAUCCUGUGUCAAUUUUGCAGAGUAUACCUCGGUUUGAUAGAUGGAUUCAUACAGCCAGCCUAGUGGGACACGGAUUGGGGAAUGCGAAUGGUUGGGAGGUGCUGUGUGAUGUACGCUGGGUGUGAUGCGCUUACCAAGAAGCUGUAGCCACCGGAUAGCAGCGGCGUUGCCCUCCCAGUUGUUGCGUUGGCAAAAUUGUACUGUAGUAUCAAUGUGUUGCGCCAGGUGAUCAACUCAGUCGCGCGAACCUGAUACCACCGAGUUGGAGUCGUUGUGUAGAAGAAACCGAAUGAGAUCGCGCCGCCGGCGACGAUUAGCCAGAGAAGCGCGCAAGCGGCGGUGAAAAGCAUGCGACGGAGCAUGGCUGUUAAAUCUGAACGUGGCAAAUCAGCCAUCGCAUGAAAAGCUGGCAAAAUUCUUGGUCAACAGAAACUGGGCUUCGCUCAAUCGUGCGGACUCGGAAUAGUAGGGCUGACGACAAGUUGUAGGGUGACCUCGAGCACCGUUGUCGGACGGCGUUUUCGAAGAAACACGAUGCUUGUGAAACGAGCCGAAAGAAACUGAAAAUAUUAAGCUUAAGGAAAUUGAAACUAAUUUUAUAGUAUGCUGGUUCCCGCUUUAAAUAGAUAGGUCGGCGUUGUGAACGCCAGGCGUGCGGUUGGCGUGUGAUGGCGUGUGUCAAUAUUCAGUCGUUUUAUCUUUAUCGUAUGUAUUUCCCAUGUUUUUCCAUAUUAAUGAAAAAAUGUUUUUCUUAAUUCUACAGGGAGCAAGAGUACUUCUAUGGGUACCAUUGACUGUGUCACUUUUUCGGUUUGACAUUGCAACCUGCCCGGUGGUCUCCAAUGAACUUCAUAAGCGCAAGUAACUGUCUAGAAUCAUGAUUACCAAGCAUAAUUCAGGAUAAAUGUGGUUUAGAUCGCGUCAGACGGUGAUACUUCUACCCAUUAGUCAUGUAUAGUGGGACCGGUCACCUGCUGAAUCCGAUAAAGUAAUGCGGAAGCCCUCUCGCCGUGAUUUGGCAAACAACAGCUCCAAGUAAGUUUUCAUCAUAAAACUUGUAUAUAUAUAUAUAUAUAUAUACAAGUUCCACCACCGUCCCACAUAUCCACCAACGCGACGCGUACCUUACCCUGUCUGACUUGCUGUGAGCAUACUUGCCCUUCCCUGCCGAGCCAUGCGCGUGAGAAUCUGUGGUAAUUAGCUAGAGGAGCAUUCCUGUUGGUGAUGAAUACGGCGUAGUGCUAACAACAGCUGCAAAAUGCAUCGACAUUGACUCAUACGUACACAGAACAUUUGUGUGUAACUUCUAUCAGAAAUGAAAUGAAUUCUCUUCUACAAGAUUGCUGUUAUUGCGGCUACCCCUGUCCGACAGCUGUUGUGCUGCUGUAAUUAUCUACCGCUGCAUUCAACUAUGGUGUCCGUGUUUGUCGGAAUGCGAGCUUUAUUGACUCAUUCGCUUCACGACUGUAAGCUUUAUUGACUCAUUCGCUUCACGACUGUAAUGCUAGGGGUUGAGCAAAUCAGGUUUCAGCUGCAUCAAAGCUGCAAAUGUGCGUGCGCUGCCGCGAGCAGCACAAAUCCUUCAUAAUUCCCCUUACGAUCCGUUAGAUUGGCAUUAGCAAUCCCUCACGGCGACGGUGUGAUUGCUGGCAAUUGCAUCCAAUGAAUCCAGCAAAUUCGCAUGCAUGGCCAUUCCCAGCCUCCCACUCUGUAACAACAACAGCAUGCGUGGCCAUUCACCUUAGCCUGGCAGUUGUGUGUGUGUGUUACAUGGUUGGUGGGUGCGUGACCCCAUACCUGUAAGACUACCCAUACGAGCCGAAGGCCCAAGGGCAAUACUACAACGCCUAAAAGCCACGGGGAAAAGGAAAAACACCGCACAUCAGCCCAGAUUAGCGUCCAAAGGGGGUAAUUGACUUUCAGUGAGCCCACAUACGUUCCAACAUCCUCGCCAGACGUGCUGGUUCCCAUUUCAUGGCCUCCAACAUGCUCUGUUGAUGAUCGAAUCCCUCUUCAGCACGAAUAUCAUUACAGGCUGGGCAUUCCAAUAACACGUGUUUUUCAUCCUCAAUUCGGCUAUUAGUACCACAACAGUGGCAAAACCGCUGCCCCCUGGGGACAUGGUACUUGCCCCUUCGUGCUCUGUUUGCCUCCAAAGCCCAGCAACAUAAACCAAACUGCAUUAGCUUACGAUGUACUAAACGAGGAAUGAAAACCUUAGCAUGUGUUGGCCACAUGACGGCUGCGGCUCCCGAAAAGGGCAGCCCCAUCCAGUGCUUAUACUUCGCCAUUUGCACUCCCGGUUGCUUCCCAUCUGAUGGGUACUCCUCUGGCAAGACAGUCAGACGCGUAUGGUCCCAGCCACUCAUCAAACGCUCUCUUAGUGCCGUUAUUAUCGCUCCUUCGGGUAGAGGCCUACUCAACAACCAGUCAACACGCUCCUUUACCCCCACGACUUCUUGCGGUAUUCCGCUCCAAAUGUUGCACUCCAAGAAGGAAAACAGUCGUAACAUUGAGGUUACCCAACCCUCCCAUUCCGGGUUGGUCAGGGCAUCGGUUAUCUCCUGCCGUAAAACGGCAUGAGCAAUGGAUCCCACUUGCAUUUGAAGGCGGUUCCAGAAACGGAGAAUCUGCUUCACCCAGUGUUUUUUUUAGUAUUAUAUUCCUUUUAAGGGAUAAAGAGGCCAUUUUGGCCUUUGGAAAAAAGGAAUGAAUUGAGGCCGAUCCGUACAUUUUCAUUCCUCCAGCCAAAAACGUCCAUUGCUGCCAGAUUGCUCCGUAGUGUGCUGAACUUAGUAUUAUCGAUCAUAGAAUAGAUAUGAGGGGCCGUAAGAAGGUCAAGCCCGUGAGUCAACGCGGCAUAGCAGAAUGUAUGACCGGUCCUUACAUAGCCAAACACGCAAAAGGCAACGACUUGAACGCCGAACAAACACCAAAACAGCAAGAUAAGCCUGAAAUUUUUCCUGAUAAAGGCGUUUGGGACGGCGGUGCUGUUGUCGGUAAUGCAUCGGCAAUGGUGUUGCUGCCAGCGGCGACCGAUGACACGGGCGCCAUUACCCCUGCCUUCCAUGGCGGUUGUGAUCAGCAUAAGCGCAAGCUGUCACCCAAUCAGCUCGACAACAACGAAUGCGGCGAGGCGCCCAACCCGAGCGCUCGCAGUGCCAAGCGGGCUCAGACACAGCGCAUCCGCAAGGGCAUGAGCGACAGUGCAUUGCGGGACAAGCAGAAAGAAAAUGCCCACAGAUGGCAGAUUGCCUGGGCCGCCAGGUAUCCCUGGGCCCAGCCUGUGCAUGCUGACGUGGACGCCGGAGAAGUGCACGACCAAGGAUUUACUUUUUGUUCACAAACAGUGCCAGAACUAUCUAUGCAUGUGCAUGAAGAGUGCGCACAUGAACGAAAACGCGCCAACGCAGUGCGUGCCUCUUGGUCUAUGAGGGGAGUUGUAACUUAUGGGGGGGGGGUCGGGCUACGCCCCCCCCCCCCAGCGCCCCNCACUUAAGGAAUACAUUACGGCGACGCUAGCAACUUUGUUACUUAGGUCGGAAUAAAUUGAGACCCCCCCUAAAUGAAAAAAAAAUCACUGGCUUCACCAUGUAAUAUUGUAAGGGGAGUUCAGCCAGCUCCGCGUACAACAGCCUGUGGGAUGGCCGUGCCGUCCCCACUACCUGCCUCAUGAAUAAAAUCUGCAGCUGGACUGCACUAUCCUUCAAACAGGCUUCGAACAUGCCCUCCGCAAGGUUGGCAUUAUCCCGCCGCCUUCCCGCCCUGUCCACGACCUCUGCCAGCGCAAAAGGGCCCCACGCCUGGCAGCCAUACAACAGAAUUGCUCGGACUUGGGUUGCAAAACACCGCAUUCGCACAUCGGGGGCAAACAGCUUCAUUUUGUCCAGCUUUGCGCUUAAGGAAAACAUAGCGGACCGACCUGUAUCACACAACUGCUGACGGCACGCACUAAAAGGCCGUUCUGGCCCAUAUACCAGGCCCAGAUAGCGAGCGCUAUCUUUGGCAGGUACUACCUGGCCUGAUAGCCGUAACUGUUGACAUCUCCCGCUAAGUUCCGACUGCUGGGUGCCGUCACAUGCAAAAACAAGCCUUUCACACUUUGAGACAUUUGGUCGCAUCCCAAAAGCUUCACAAAACAAGUCCACAAGAUGUAGCAACUCAGACAUUCGCUCUAGUGACGUCGCUAGCAGACUAACAUCGUCUGCAUACAACAGUAUGGAGACGCGCUUGCUUUCCACAAGGGGUGCGUCAUACUUACGUGCACCAGCUUCUACAAGGUCAUGAGUAUCAAUCAGAUCGGCUAGUGUCUCGAUGAAGAGUCCAAACAACUCCGUAGAUAAAGGACACCCUUGCUUCACUCCUUGCUUAGACUCAAACUCUCCCCCCACUUUCUCAUUUACCUUCAUCACCAGCCUGGCAGUUGUGACACAGGCACACACCACACACAGGCACGUAGACAAUCAGGUACGCUGAAACGGAUUCACGCUGGCAGAGGUCAAUCUGGGGGGGGAAAGAGCUUGAUCGUUCGCCGGCUGAGCUUUGACCCUCGUUUCGAGUGCAAGUCAAUUUGCAUUCCGAUGGGUGCAGUCACCUGAGCCGCGCCAUAACACCCAGCCGUGAACUUGGCAUGCAGACGAGCAGUGACCUGUGCCACAAUGCAACAACCUCGCUUAAUUGACAUAGCGGCACGAUUUGGAGUGAAUUUGCCGUGAUGAUAGCCGUUUGUUGUGGCCAAGGUGGAUGUUUUAAGGUUUUCAUCAUCAAAUCACGCUAACUGUGCUCGAGGCAAGGGCAUGAUGAAGACCCGGGCAAGCGGCGCCAAAGGAUUCUUCCCGCUAAAGUUGAUUGGCUUUUAGGCGUAUAGAUAUUGCCUUGGGCCUUCGGUUCGUAUGGGUAGUUUUACAGGUAUGGAGUCACGCACCCGCAACCAUGUAACACAUACACAGAUCGGCACGAAGGGCCCGGCAACCCAACCCCCCAGGUAUAUGAGUGUUGGUCACUCUCCAGCAAUCCCCUCCCAUAAAGACAGUUGGUUGGAAGCAUACGCGUCUAGAUGUCCAGCCAGACGUGUACCCGUCAGACGACAAGUAGCCAGGAAUUCACAUGGCGAAGUAUAAGCAUUGGAUGGGUCUAGCGGCCGAACAAGUGGGCAGGAGGGAGGUACUCCCGCAUGUCACAACGUUUAUCCCACGUUCAGCGAAUCGCAAGCUUUAGGCUUUGCUGUUGGGCAUUGGCGCCGAACAGUGCAGACAACGGACGGCGUUAUAUGCCUAGGGAGGAGCGAGCAUGCCCCUGCUGCGGCACUGAUAGACAAAUCGAAGAUGAGAAGCACGUUUUGCUGGACUGUCCGGUGUACGGCAAAAUCAGAUCUGGUAUGGAUUUUCCACGCUUCGAGCAUAUGUGUGUGUAUGUUUCAUGGUUGGGGGUGCGUGACCCCAUACCUGUAAAACUACCCAUACGAGCCGAAGGCCCAAGGGCAAUACUUCAACGCCUAAAAGCCACGGAGAAAAGGAAACACCGCACAUCAGCCCAGACUAGCGCCCAAAGGAGGUAACUGAGUUUCGGUGAGCCCACAUACGUUCCAACAUCCUCGCAUGACGUGCGGGUUCCCAUUGCAUGGCCUCCAACAUGCUCUGUUGAUGAUCGAAUCCCUCUUCAGCACGAAUAUCAUUAUAGGCUGGGCAUUCCAAUAACACGUGUUUUUCAUCCUCGAUUCGGCUAUUAGUACCACAACAUCGGCAAAACCGCUGCCUCCUGGGGACAUGGUACUUGCCCCUUCGCGCUCUGUUUGCCUCCAAAGCCCAGCAACAUAAACGAAACUGCACUAGCUUACGAUGUGCUAAACGAGGAAUGGAAAUCUUAGCAUGUAUUGGCCACAUGACGGCUGCGGCUCCCGAAAAGGGCAGCCCCAUCCAGUGCUUAUACUUCGCCAUUUGCACUCCCGGUUGCUUCCCAUCUGAUGGGUAUUCCUCUGGCAAGACAGUCAGACGCGUAUGGUCCCAGCCGCUCAUCAAACGCUCUCUUAGUGCCGUUAUCAUCGCUCCUUCGGGUAGAGGCCUACUCAACAACCAGUCAACACGUUCCUUUACCCCCAUGACUUCUUGCGGUAUUCCGCUCCAAAUGUUGCACCCCAAGAAGGAAAACAGUCGUAACAUUGAGGUUACCCAACCCUCCCAUUCCGGGUUGGUCAGAGCAUCGGUUAUCUCCUGCCGUAAAACUGCAUGAGCAAUGGACCCCACUUGCAUUCGAAGGCGGUUCCAGAAACGGAGGAUCUGUUUCACCAUGUAAUACUGUAAGGGGAGUUCAGCCAGCUCCGCAUACAACAGCAGGCGGCAGGCAGGCGGCUGGCAGGCGGCAUAGGCAGGCAGGCGGCUGGCAGGCGGCAUAGGCAGGCGGCUGGCAGGCGGCAUAGGCAGGCGGCUGGCAGGCGGCAUAGGCAGGCUGGCGGCUGGCAGGCGGCAUAGGCAGGCAGGCGGCAUAGGCAGGCGGCUGGCAGGCGGCAUAGGCAGGCGGCUGGCAGGCGGCAUAGGCAGGCAGGCGGCAGGCAGGCGGCAUAGCCAGGCAGGCGGCUGGCAGGCGGCAUAGGCAGGCGGCAUAGGCAGGCGGCUGGCAGGCGGCAUAGACAGGCGGCUGGCAGAGGUUAAGGCCUGACUUCUGCUCCAGGAGUGUCCGAGUUCAAAUCUGCCUGCCAAUUCCUCAGGUGAUUGAGGAGUGUUAAAAUGGGAGGUGGCUCCCCAUCUCAUGGACGGUGUAGGACGUGAUAAUAUCAACUUGCGAGCUGACCAGGAACUAAGUUGAUGCGCCGUUGAUCCGCAAGAUUUGGUUGGAUGCUGGUGGUGAGUUGCCGAACCCAACAAAUACAUCCUGAAGUAGGAUGGGGUGACGGAUUAGGGUGCCCCUCUAGCAGGGGAGAGUAGGGACUGCCCCGGGAAAGGGGGCCGCUGGCGAAGUUAACCACCCUGUAACAACAUACAUACAACAGCCUAUGGGAUGGCCGUGCCGCCCCCACUGACUAAUUUGAGGCGCCGUUGAUCCGCUAGAUUUGGUUGGAUGCUGGUGGUGAGUUGCUGAACCCAACGAAUACGUUCUGAAGUAGGAUGGGGUGAACGGAUUAGGGUGCCCCUCUGGCAGGGGAGAGCAGGGAACUGCCUCGGGAAAGGGGGCCGCUGGCGAAGUUAACCACCCUGUAACAACAUACAUAUAACAGCCUAGGCAGGCGGCUGGCAGAGGUUAAGGCCUGACUUCUGCCCCCGGCCGACCCGGGUUCAAAUCUGCCUGCCAAUUCCUCAGGUGAUUGAGGAGUGUCAAAUUGGGAGGUGGGGCCCCAUCUCAUGGACGAUGUAGGCCGUGAUAAAAUCAACUUGCGAGCUGACCAGGAACUAAGUUGAUGCGCCGUUGAUCCGCAAGAUUUGGUUGGAUGCUGGUGGUGAGUUGCCGAACCCAACAAAUACAUCCUGAAGUAGGAUGGGGUGACGGAUUAGGGUGCCCCUCUAGCAGGGGAGAGCAGGGACUGCCCCGGGAAAGGGGGCCGCUGGCGAAGUUAACCACCCUGUAACAACAUACAUACAACAGCCUAUGGGAUGGCCGUGCCGCCCCCACUACCUGCCUCAUGAAUAAAAUCUGCAGCUCGACUGCGCUGUCCUUCAAACAGGCUUAGAACAUGCCCUCUGUAAGGUUGGCUUUAUCCCGCCGCCUUCCCGCCCUGUCCCCAGCGCAAAAGGGCCCCACGCCUGGCAGCCAUACAACAAGAAUUGCUCGGACUUAAGUUGCAAAGCACCGCAUUUGCACGUCGGGGGCAAACAGCUUAAUUUUGUCCAGCUUUGCGCUUAAGGAAAACAUAGGGGACCGACCUGUAUCACAUAACUGCUGACGGCACGCACUAAAAGGCCGUUCUGGCCCGUAUACCAGGCCCAGAUAGCGAGCGCUAUCUUUGGCAGGUAUUACCUGGCCUGAAAGCCGUAACUGCUGACAUCUCUUGCUAAGUUCCGACUGCUGGGUGCCAUCACAUGCAAAAACAAGCCUUUCACACUUUUUAGACAUUUAAAGCAUAUGAAGGACGAUAUGAAGUGGGAACCUGAACGUCUGGCAACGAUGCUGGAACGUAUGUGGUCCCACCGCAACUCUAUCGGUCCCUUUGGUCGUUGGUAUCCUUUACCACUUGCUUGUCUGCAGUGCGAGGUAGGACGGUGCUUAUAGGCGAUCUUGCAGCCCUUGAUCCCUCGGCUCGUAUUGGGGUGGUUGCAGAUACGGGGAACGCACCCCACGACCAUGCAGCGCACACACACAAAAAAAUACAGUCGAACAGAGACUACAAAAAUCAUAUGUUGGAAAUACCAGCGUUUGGUGGCUGUUAAGUGCGUGUGCUUUUUGCAACCGCAGCCACCACAGCAGUCGGGGUGCGUGCAGGCAAGAAGGUGGCCAACAGGGUUCGACACUGAACUUCCUGAAACUUGCGGGCUCCCCCGUACCUCCCAAAUUUUCCUUACGGAGGGGCCCCCGUACCAGGCUCCUGUACCGGCCGAAAACCUUAUGGGGGCCCCCGUAACCCCCGCAAAACCUUUACGGGGGCACUGUCCUUGGCUGAAACGCUGUGGAAAGUGACGCUUUGCAAUUUUUUGCCCUGUAAAUCGUUAUUUUCUCGUGAACCAUUACACUCAGUGACACGGCACACUCAGCGAAAGCCAAGCGCCUUGGCCGCCGCGGCCGCCCAUCCCUUCUGCUCCAUUUUCUCGUCCUCCUAAUCCUCAUCAUCAUCAAAAUCCUCAAACACGCACGACUCAUCGGUAUCUCGUUCUACGUCGGCCUCGUAGUCACUGUCACUAAAAGCCUCAUCGUCACUAGCGGGGUAUGUUGCUUGUACCAGUAAUUCAAUCUCUGGGUCAGUCGCAACCUCCUCAUUAUCAUCCUCUCCGUAUGGAUUCAAAUUAAUUUUGCUAACGUCAAAAAGGCUUAUCAUCUACUUUCUUUGUGGGAACAGGUUGGCUUGCAGGCUUUCCAUCCUUUAUAUGGUCCGUCCUCUCCCCUACAGGGCCCCGUACGGCCUCUUAUAAAUCCUUAAAAUCCUUACGGGAGCCACUGUAACCGGCCUUCGGCCGGUCCGGGGCCGGCCCCGUACGGGGCGCUUCGCGCCCCAAAAUCCUUACGGGAGCCACCGAAAAGUCCUACGGGCCCUGACGGGGAUACCGAAAAAAGGCCAAAAACUUACGGGCCCCGUACGGGGUGUCGAACCCUGGUGGCCAACCAAGGCGAGCGAGCGAGGCGGCCUCAGGGGCCCCUUCGUGCCGCGGGGAUCCGCAACCUGAAAGGUGAUCACAGCUCAAGGCUCUAGCUUCUUCCCACCACCUUCCUUGAACGCGGGUGUGAAAGCUGGCGGGGUUAUAGGCACUGGAAAAGCUGCGUCGUCGGCCUAUCAGAAGACGAAUGACAAUGCGUUUAUACGCACAUGUAAACGCACAACAGUGGCGCCCGUUGGGACAAGGCCGAUGAACAAAUAUGAUUCUGUGAGGUAGGAGGGUAUAGCUUCACCCGUGCCAUCAGCCUGGCAGUCCCUAGCUGCCUCCCCCCCGCGGUGUACUCGGAGCACCAACCUCAUCCUUCUCGCCCAUUUCGAUUUUUGCGAAGUCAGUGAUUUUUCUGGGUUCAGCACCCACCACCACCACCACCACCACCAUCACCAUCACCACCACCACCACCACCACCACCAGCAUCCAGCAUCCAUCUGCCAGCGGCGGCGUCAACUCCCCACUACUAGUGGUCCACUCGCCGGUCUGUAUAACCGGUUCCAUCACCGCCCAUCAACGUGAGCGUGCAUCCAACAGAUGGACCUUCUAAUGAUUGAUAGGUAUCCUGUGUUUAUGAUGAUCUCGAUCCUGGAACCUUCCAUCAACGCUAUGCCGCACGACAGCAUGUCCGCUGUGUGUGGAGCCGCAAUCUCUGAUGGCACUGACGAUAUACGAUAAUCCUACGGCAGUGGGACGUUUAGAACACUGCAUUGCCAGCGUGGCCCAUUGUGGGUGAUUGGGCUUUAACUUUAACCUUAAACUUUAACUUUAAACUGACAAGAUCGGACAUGCAUGGCCCACUGGCGAGUUGGUCUGGACGGCACUGAUGAGGGCAUCCAGUCUUUAGAGGUCCCGCUCGUUGUGAUGAUUAUUACCGUGAUGUGAGGAUGUGCUACGGAUACAACGGAAUCGCGCUACAUUACUUGCUUUGGACUACGUUAGCGUCGCCAAUGCACUGCAGGCGAGGCUCCACGUGCGAGCUGUGAAGCGCAUGUACGGCCGCUGCCGUGCGGCUGCCAAACGAGUGGGGGGCACCUCUAAACCAACGCUUUCCCCGUCAUUCGUUGCCUCCUGACCACCGUAACAUUUCUUCCUUGGUGCUCCUGCGCACAGAUGAGCGAUGCCGAAGCAUAUGUGUCAUGAUGCAGUUGUGAGCUUCGUGCGGCUUCCUAACCACGCAGCUCCCAUCCUAUCUCUGUGUAUGCUCGGAUGGGAGAAGCCGCAGUAGUUCCCAAGAGGUUUUCUUUGUUUAGACCUGAACAUCUACACAAGUUGAACAUAUCCACCGGAAGAAGUUUAAGCUCGGGAGAUGUCUUCAAUACACACGACAAUUACACAUUUCUAAUGGUCCUGCGGCGAAUGUAGCGAUAUCCACUGUUGCCCAAGGCCGUCCGCCAAUGGCGUGCGGAUCGUGCCUGCCCAAGUAAGCACUCAGAGAUAUUGAAAGCAGCACUGAGAAUUCCGAUAAAAGAAUCAAAUCAUAUUACUUUUAACACAUAGACGGCUCAGAGUGAAGUAAACUUGCACCUUAUGGAGCUAUGGUCGGUACUAGUACUCGAAACGUUAUCGCCGACAACGAACACAAACUCUUUUAUGCCACCAUAGCACUAUCCUCAUGAUCAAAUUUCCCUCACCACAAUUCUGUAAACGAAUAAACCAUUUUCCAUUACAUCAAGGUGCCGCUGGCACAGGUAGUUGUUUUGCACCUACUGCUGCUGUCGGAACGCCACAUCCAAAUCCCACAUAUUUCUCCUCUGUAAACUCUAUGAAAGAAAGCAUGCUUUGCCUUCACUUCGACCGACUAUUAAGAAGGACAGUUGGGAAUUGCUACCUUGCUACUCAAUUGUUAACUUGGCAGCGGUCUAGACCUGGGAGCGGUUUCAGAGUUCCAUGGGUAGCUUAAGUUGAGGAACAAGGCUUGUGCUCUGAGGCUUUUGCCGUACAACCUAUGUCUAACACUUCUUACGCACUGCUUUGGCAUUGCUCAGUUAACAGUUGUUACCGUAUCCCAUAGCCUACGUGAUAAAUGUUUUGUCUUUUAGCCUUGUUACAGGAGUUCGAGCUCGCUGUAAUGUAUUUGCAGCUCCCUUAAGCCUUACCAUUACCUGCAGUUGCCGGUCUCCAUAGCAUUAGGUCUUGAUGUGAUAUGAAUAGGAGGGAAUGUCAAGCUUGCUUUUUAGCCAAUGCCACUCGCUAUCGGCUGGCCGUGGAAGGAUUGCAUUCCCUGGUAAACCACUAGUACCGACAAUAUGAUAGCUUUGUACUAAUGAGGCGUGGAGUACCGCGCGGCGUUCGGGCUCGAGCUGGCUUGCGGGUCUUCCUUCUUGCCGCACUUCUCACCUGUUGUGCUGCUGAGCACACGCCAUGUGUCGACUUCCUGCUGUUCAACUCAAGAAACAGGUUUGUAGAAUACUUGUUACUCAUGCGCAAAAGGGAAAGGCCAAAGUUUCCAAACGGAAGUACCGGUAUAACAUUUCACUGUGGCAGCUAACUUAGUUCUUUCGUUCUCAAUUUCGUGCCGUUAGCAUGAUUGCGAUCCUUGUUCUCUCGGCUGUGCGUCGGUCGACUAUCCACUCCAUUUGACUGCUUCUCUCUUUUUGGUUUCUCACAUGCAAUAACUAACAAUUUGUACACUUUAUAGGACAAUAUGUAACGACUGUCAGGGCCUCUGUCAUUUAAGGGGGCACUGAACGGUCCCUGCAUGAAUGCUUGCAGUUGCACAGCAGCACCUAACAGCACACUAUACAGAGACGCUAUUCGGCAAUACGUGGACUGCAACCAGCUGGAUAAUGCGACCCAGGUUGGUAUGCCAUCCAAGGGGAACCAGCUAGGUUUGCAUCUACAUGCCCGCACCGCAACUUUGUUUGUUUCAGGCUUCGGGAUUCAAUCAUCUGCCAUUAGUACUGCCCAGCUGCUGCUUACCUACCCGACGCACCCAAUAACCCGCCUCUGUAACUACAGCACCACGUAAUGUGUGUUCCUCUGUGUGGCGCACCUCUGGUUCUCGAUCCAGUUCCAUGUACAUGUUCCCGAGUCUCCAAACUGUAAACGCUUAGUAGCUGGCUGCUGAAAGAUCUUUUAAGCGUUCUGUCUCCUACCCGUCUUGAAGCACCGCGUCCCUCUUUAAGGAAGUGUCCAUUACCGGGCUAUCGCUUCGCCGUGUACAAGAGGGGAAUGUAGGAUAUAGCAAAGCCCAGCCCGCCUCUUAGUGGUGCUCUGCAUGCUGUCUGCUGACGUGUCCGUUUUCCUAUUCACAAAUCUUUGUUACUUUGUGAUGAUGUGCCCAGGCAGAGGGUCUAUCAUUCCCGUCUCAGCCCCCUAGGUCCACACGCCACAUGCCAUAUCUUCCCGCGGGUUUGCAAGCACGUUCAUGCUCGGGUAACGUUUGUCUGCUGGUUUGGUUGAUGGCCUUUUAAUCAGAAACUCUGUGCGGCUUACAAAAAACGCAGGGUUUGGAGCUGGACUUGCUGGUCAGCGCCCCAGUGCUGUUGCCGACUGCCGUGCUGGCUCGCUUCAAAACCGAGACCGGCUGGACAGUCCAUGUGACGCCGUGGGAUGUCACGUAAGUGGUUUCGGAUCCAAGUUGAAAGACUGCCGUACGCUGGUGGAUGGGUGAUGCUGGGAGGGAACUGCAAAGGGGAGGGCAAGGCAAUGCUGUAGUGUAAUCCCUGGUGCCCAACCCUCUCCCAGCACAAGGGCACCAUACAUAGCAACGUAGUAUCCGUAUUUGCUGCAUAUCUUGCUUGCCAUUUGCUGGGAUUUACACCAUACACCAUGAAACACUGUCCACAUUCUAAACCACAUUGAAGUCACUUGGCGCCCUUCCUUGUGGGCGCUACCGCCACCGUCGCCACCAACACCGUAUCUAUAAACUAGCAGCAGCAGUAGCGGCAACGCCGCAACCUCAGCGACAUCACUCGGGUUUGACGUCACUUCCGACUGGCAGCAGCAGCUCGUACUGUCGUACGAUGCAUGGAUUCUGGAUUCGGAGCUCCUGGGUGGUCUCGUGCAGAGAGGUGCCGUUGCGCCGCCAGCACCGCUGCUCGACACUGCAGCAUUUGUUGAGAUCCAGGCUACGGCACAGCCGCAGGUACGGCGGUACGGCACGUCGUAUCGAUACCUGACGGCAGGAAUACCGUUAGGGAGCAACACGCUCGUUCUGUACGGCAAUCACAAAGCAUUGUGGCAGCUCUACGGUGAUGAGCGCAUGCGGCGGCGGCUGGGGCUGCAAGUGGGUGCACCCGUUGGGAGCGGUAGCAACAGCAGCAGUAGCGACGGCAGUAGCAGUAGCAGUAGCGGCAACGAUAGCGAUAGCGGCGACAGUAGCAGCAGUAGCAGCAGGCUGUCCGAGGAGGAUGGUUCAAUACUGCCGUUGCUGUUGCCGCGAGUGUGGACGUGGGAGCAAUUGAUUGACGCAGCGGCGGCUGUCAACGGUACGGAUUUCGACGGCGACGGUGUAGUCGAGUACGGCAUAUGCCUCGAGGUCGCUCCAGGUAGGGUAGGUGCACUGGCUCCGCCACGGCCGUCACCGCCGCCGUGGCGGCUGCCGACCGCUAUCACUGCCACAGCUGCCUUGAAGACAGCUCGAUCGGGUUGCUAGGAAACGUCCAAGCCCUCAUAUUGAGGGAGGAUGACAAGUGGUGUCUGUCUGUCUGGAUGGAUGGAUGGAUGGAUGGCACGCGGUGGGGGGGCAGUAAAGAGGGCCCUAAACCAAACCAUGCAAGAUCAUGUCGACAGCCAAAUAAAACAAGGAAAGGGAAAACAGGAAAAUAAGAGGGAGGAAACCACCACCCUACUUAGCCGAAGAGUGAGGAGGAGACCCUACAUAGCCAAGGACACGCCUUGCCCGGAUAUCAGCGACCCUCUAAGCGGCAUCCGAGAGUUUCCUGCUCCAUCGCGUUCUUCAUAUCGCCGCCUGUGAAGGGGACUAUGUCGUACCGCACUCUAACGUCCACGCAAACCCCGCAUUGAGCGUUGUGUCCCACCAUCAAGUGUGUGUGUUACGCCACCUUCUGGAGCUGCAUGACCCUCUAAAGGUGUAACCUGGGGCCCCAUGCGAGCCCUGAAGGGGCCCACGGGCCAGGGCCCCCAGGCCGAAUUAGGCAGAUUAGGCAGUCAUGGGGUAUAUAAAUAUAUACCUUAUACCAUAUACCUUAUACCUUAUACCAGCCCAUACGAGUCAUGAAUGGGGAUCAAGUAUCCAAGUGGAGACAACAACUUUCCAAUUCCAUAUCCAGGGUUGUCCAUACCAUACAGCAUGAAGGCCCGCACAAGCACCCGCAAACAGGAUGCAGCCAAGCAGUGAGUCACGGAGCUGCGGGCUGUAGGAGGCCUAGACAUCUGGGGCUGAGACGCCAUGAGCCGAGGCGUGAACCUACCUUUAGAAGCCUGUGACGAAUGGAUCGGGCUGUGGGGAAUCGCGGUCAUUGGCAUUCCGGGUCGUGCAGUUGGGGCCGAAUGAGAAUGCGGCGGAUUGGAAGAUACCUACCUAAGGGGGGAAGCUACGGAACGAUAACACAUGACCAGAGCGGUGAAUGCGAGGGCGAGGGCAAGAAUAUGCACGCUUAGGUCAGACUAGGGAGCGUCCUUUCGGAAGCGUCCUUUCGAGUGCAGACAAACGUUGUUGGCUGAUUCGUGGAGAAAACAUAUGCUUGUCUGUGCAUAUGUUUGUAUGGCGAAGGUUACAAUGCAAACGGAAAACGCCAGGGGCAAAAAAUAGAGUGAGAGAGACGGGGGAACAGGAUACACAGGGAAGGUCCCCCAGCAGUUUUCUGUGCCCCUCCCCCGACUCAGGCCUGGAUACACAAGGCAGCCACCCAGUUGAGUUGACAGCCAAGGGGGAUGUAGCGCUGCCGCCAACCUAUUUACGUGUGUACAUAUGUACGUAUGUAUGUAGCUUUGUUUUCACACGCUCAUGCUGCUGUGUCGCCUUGCCGGCAGGUUGUUUAGCACCAGCGCUGCUUCAGGGCAUUGCAGCAUCCUACCUACAGACUCACGGGGCCAGCCACGGCGUCCUGAUUGAUCCCUCAUCCAUGGCCUGGCGCCUUAACAGCCCAGGGUUUCGGAGUGCAAUAUGGACGCUGCAGCGGUUGCUGUCGUACUCGGCGCCAUUAUCGCAGACAUCGGUCACCACCAGUGACGGCGUUGACGCCGCAGCUGCACCAUCAUCGUCAACGUCAGCACGGUCAUCGACAUGUCGACGGCUGUCGGCUGCGUUUGCGGAGGGGCGGUGCGCAUUUGCCAUUCACGGGCUGUCGCACCUCAAGGCGAGUUUCCGUCUGCUGUCUUGCCCCGUUAAAAAAGAUGACGGAAGGGGAGAGGGAUAACGGAAGGGGAGAGGGAUAACGGAAGGGGAGAGGGAUAACGGAAGGGAAGCAAGUCAGAAUACCGCAAGUCAGGAGAAAAUGAAGGCGACAGGGAUGCGUGGGCGAAAGCGGGGCAUGGUGUUUGGCAUGCGUGAGUCCAUUUCCUGUGAACACGACAUUAUUGCGUGCCGUGUACAAUUAUAUUACCAUGCUGCUUUUGCGGGAGCUGCUACAGCAGCUGCAACAUGACUACUGCUGCUGCUGGUGAUGGUGCUGUGCUGCUGCAGGCUGCUUACGUAUGGCCAGGGGGGGAUAAGAAUGUCGUGUACAGCACUCGCAUCAUGAUGCUCCCUGGUAGCACCCAAGUGGACCGGGGCUUGUACGGCAUCAUGGAGGAGUGUACGGCGUCGUCUUGCCCUUACGCGUCGCCGUUGUCCGACAUAAAGUCUGCCGCCACGUACAGCAGCAGCUGGGUGAGCGCUCUGACUUCCGCACUGUUUCGUAGUGGUGGCGGCGGCGCCGCCGCCGCCGGCAGCGUCAACGUCGCGCCGCUGGUGUACGCCAACCCUGUCGGCGGCAUCAACGCAGCUUCGCCGGCGGCUUCGCGCGCCGCAGCUGCACGGCUCCUGUCGAUGCUUGGAUCAGCUCCAGUCCAAGAGAUUCUGGCCAGGGACCCGACGUCAGGUCAGCGUGGGUUGUGAGAUAUCGUUGGCAAAUUUGACCUCUCAAAAGUUCUCAGUGAGAAUCGAACUCGAAACCAUCAGUUAACAGAACCGCUAGGUAGCUCUACAAGCAAAACUGGCUCUGGAACUCGUCAACAAGGAAUUGAGCAGGGCGGAUGUAUAGCUGGGCAGGGCAGAGGGAAACCUAGAACACGGCCAGCUGGGAGGUAGAGGGGAGGGCCUUAGCGAAGACGGUGUCUUUGCCGGGACCUGGGUCCAGGAGAAAUCAAUGCCAAUGGAGAGGCCAUCCGGUGUCGCUCCCAGACAGCGGGGUCCAGGGGGCUUGUUGGCGCCCGGUUAUUGCAUGUUGGACUUGGGGGGGGGGUGAUGGUGGAGAUGGUAGUGAUGGUGAUGGUGGAAAUGGUGGUGAUGGUGGAGACGAUGAUGAUGAUUGUGAUGAUGAUGGUAGUGGAGACGGUGAUGGUGUGGUGGUCUUCCUAAUAAUUGCUGGUCUACUGCAAGGGGCUCCGAAAGCCGAACACCGAACGUUUAAUCAUUCAUUCUGUCCCACUAUCUAUAUUCUCCGCCCCGUUUGUAUGUAUAACUGUCAGGGUGUGUAUGUGAAAGCAAUGGAAAAUGUGUGACUUUCGUGCACAUUAACCUACCCACUUAAUUACCUACCUGCCUACACAUAUCUGUCAUUAUGUCUGUCAGCUCACUUGCCCGUAAUAAGCUCCCACUUAGGUCUCCCCUUUUUCUCCACCUCCUUCUCCCUCUCUUUCUCCACCUCCAGGUGUGACACCCUUUCGCCGCCUGGACCGGAUGACCACCCGCACAAAUGAGUCGACCGCCCCCCUCGAGUCGACUUCACCGUCGUCGCUGCAGCUAUUGCAGCAGCAGCAGGUCAGUGCGGUAAUGGUGGCGCCAGCUACGCAGCAAGACCUGGACCUGGCUGACCUAACUGAGCGGCUGUGGGACCAUCCGAACGCGGCUCCAGCGCUGCGAGUGCCUGGGGCUGAAACCCUUUGGUAAGUGGCGAAUGGGGGAGCAGAAAUGGAUAUGGGCCGGAAGAAAAGGGCGGAAAGAAUGAAAAGGGGAGGAGUGGAAAGGGAAGAAAGGGGCGGGAAGAAUGGAGAAUGAGGCACGAUUGUGGAGAUGGGGCCCAUGAUUGCGGAGGGAGGCAUUUCAUGAUCCACUUGCUUGGUACCGUCCUACGGCUCCGCUCGCCAGUUUUCUCGCUCCAUCCUGAAUGCAUGAAAAUAGGCCGUACUUUGACGCGGCCAUCGCGGAGCUCUCGCCGUACAACUCACCUCAGCUGUCAUUGACGCCUUCCACGAACCUGCCGUACGCCGACGACGAGCCGCCGGAGACGCCGGCGGCGGCGGUGACGGCGGCGCUGACACUAUUGUCACGGAAGCUGCCGGCGGCGCUGGAAGCGGCGCUGCCGUCGCCGGCACAACGCCGUACGGAGUACCGGGCUUCGCUGUCGUACCGUCAACCGGUGCUGACUCAGCGAGUGGUGGUAAGUUUUACCUGGGUCGAGCUCCUGAAGAUUUUGGGGUUUGGGGAGAGGUUGAAUGAAAGGGGGGAAAGAGGGGGGUUUGUAACGCUUUGCAGGGCCGCAUGCAUGUCGUACGGCACACGAUGGACUUGUGCUCCCUUUUCUCCCGGAGCACCUUCACGCUGCAAAAUAAAGCAUGAAGGUCCGUCUCCUGAUUAGGCAACAUUUUAAAAUUGUUCUUGGCGUCUUCAGAAUUGUUAGAACUUAAUUUGCCCUUGCGUGGCCUUCCCUGCACUGGGUGUACCCUGUACCGCGUAAUGGGCUCCAUCCCGUCCACCCCCUGUUGCGUUCGGUUUGAUAGGCGCAGCCAUCGUCAUCGCGCUUACGUGUCAAACUCAUUGUCGGACUAACGCUGGGGCUUGGCGGCGGCGCCGUACUGCUGGCGGCGCGCGUCAUCCUGCAAUCUCGCCGUACGCUGCGGCGGCUGCGCGGGACCAGCAGCGGCGGCGACGACUCGUCCAACCGCCGCAAUACGGCAACGUAUGUCGUACUUGACAUUCAGGUGCACAUAUUCGCUUACAUGAGCGCAUAACGGGUCCGUCGUACAAGGCUACUGGGCCCCCUCCCUUUUCUGACCGGGUUUGGGGGUUUCGGACUUGAAAAAACGGAACCUGGGGAUAUAUUCCUAUAGCCAAUGGUGGAGGCGAUUGGGAAGGGAUUGCGAUUGGUGCCCGGACGGGGCUCCUGGCGGGCUUCCCUUCCGAUCUUGUCUUGUUCCGAUCGCUCAUCGAACAGGGGGGAAAACGUUGCCGGUUUUCCUUCCUCACACAAAGGGCACGCGUUGACAGGCCUGAGGGAUAUGGCCUGAGGGAUAUGGCUUUUCCUGACCUGGCUGUGACCCGUUGGUUUUCCCCGGCACGGGCGCGCAUCCUCCCCUGUUCGCUUGGGCCCUUUGUGCGGGUGCGUGUACGUGUGUGUGCAGGGUCUCUCUGAGCCGAGUCUUCCGGAAACAGUACGGGAGCAGGCGCUUCGGUUAUGUCACGAUGUGGUCAAGCAGCUGGCGCGCCGGUAUGAUGGGGAGCUCGUGCCGCUACCCCACGAUGAAGCAACACCGCAGCUGUCGGCGUCGGCGGCAGUACGACAUGGCGUCGGAGGAGACAGGCUGCCUGAGUCACCAGCAGCGGCUCUGCAGGCGGCUCUGGCAGCGGCGAUGAGGGGGUCCACAGCAGAUCAGGCAGCAGCGGCGGUGGCGGCGGCGGCGGCCGCUGCCGGUGGGCCAUGCAGUAGCGCCGGGUACGACCUCGGUCCUGAGAGUUGCACUGGCGGGCGGAUGCGGCCGCCGUACUGGGGUUACGAAAGUAGCUACCUGUCACUGGUGUCUCGUGAUCUGGACGCGCCGCUUCUUCAACAACAGAACACCGAUGUUGUACCAGUUUUGGAUGGGCCGCUGGGGGCCGUUUCUGGCUACGGCAAGGCAACCAUCGCCGCUGCUACUGCCGCCACCGCCGCUGCCGCUGCGAACUUCUCGUCUUGCAUGGCACAGGACGGAACGCCGGAUGGCGGUGCGCCACUGUCCCCGAUGCCGCUUCCGACAUGUAUUGUCCCGACGGCGACGGCGACGACGACGGCGGCAGUAACGGACUCAUCAGGACAGACGUCGCCUCUGGUGAGUUGCCGUACAACAGGAGCGGCUGCAUCUCAACGUCAUGCCACAUGGUUUCAUUUGUUUGAUCCGCUGAUGACUCGACCGGGGCUUAACAGUCGAGGGUCGACGGAGGCCAGCAUGGCGGCGGCGGCGGCGGCGGCGGCGGCUCAACAGCUGCCAUUGGGAAGUGCCGACGCCAACGGGGCCGUACCGACUGACUGUACGAGAUCAGCAGGUAACGGUGGCGGUGACGGGACUAGCAUGGAUUCCAGCUGGAAACGCGCUGGUGGGGCUGGAGCACUCAGUGGACGAAGUUUGCACAUCGACGUGGGCGGCAGCCUUGAAAGGACGGCAGACGGUUGUAUGACUUCACCCGGCGGCGCCGCUGCCGCCACCACCGCUGCCGCUGCCGCUGUUUCACCCCAAAACAUGGUUCAUUACGGUAGUGGAGGCGGAGAGGGAGGCGGCGACGGCAGCAACGGCGGGGGCAGAGGCGGCGGCACUGGCGGGGCAGCGCCUGGGGCAAAUCAGUUAAGUAUGGUACAGCAGACUGCGCCGCCGCCGCCGUCGGAUGGGCUGCAGCAGCAACACCGAACUUGGACUUCGAUGCACCUCCAACAUUCUGCUACAGCCAACCCUGCGCUAUUCCUGGAGCAAUUCAAGCCUGCCACUGGUAAAGAACACCUAUCUGCAGGACAUCUCUCUGACAUGCUACUGCCGCUGCCCUCCUCGGCGACAAUUACUACGAAGGCUGCCGCUGGAGCCGCCGUUGCCGCGAAUGCCGCUGCCGGCGGCGGGCCCUGGGCGACUAUGAGCCUUAACUCCGAGCCGCACCUACCGCAGUCACCCUUUACCGUACAAUACUGUACAUCCAGCGGCGAGAUUCCCCGGCCUUUACAGGACUCGGACGGUGCGAGUCUGUCGGGCCUGCCGGGGCAAGGUCUUACUUUGGGAGGUCAGGUGCUGGGACAUCAGUACCUAUCGGGCGCCUGGCCUUCACCGUCAGUGCUGCCCACCCUACCGGAGGGCGUUACGGACAGCGGAAUGACAACAGUUGAUAGAGCUGUGGUGGCGGCGGCGGCGGCGGUUUCGGGACCCAGAAGCGGCGGCGGCGGCGCCGCCGCAACAUCGGGAGGUGUUUCCGACGACUUGCUUGCAGCCAUGCACGCUGGUCGCAUCCUUCCUCACGCCCAGUCGACACCGACGACGCCGCUGCUGGGGCAGCUGCACGCUCUGUCGCCGCUACGGCUGCGGCCGAUGCCGUACACCACGCUUGCUGGCGCAUCGUCACAGCUAUCGCCGGCUGUGCCGCCGGCGGUAGCGGCAGCGGCGGCACCGUCAAGCCAGCCUCUGUCAUCCCGUGGUGGCGGCGCGCUGGCAGUGGCAAUGGCGGCGGCCAGGGCGGCGGCGGGGGGGGCGUCCUUGGCAUCACAGCGUCAGCUCUCUACACGGCUGGCGUUAAUUUUCGCCUCUGUGCACGACGCCGUUUGUUUCUGUGUGCACAUGCAGGUAUGGCACGUGGUUUCUCGCAGGAUAUGUUAAUCACUUUGCCUGAUAUUGGUAUCAGUAUCAUACUGCUGCUGCUGCCGCUGCCGCUGCCGCUCCCAGCUCAUCAUACCGCCAUUACUACCCUUACCCCAUUCUUCGCUACGUGUUGUCCUGUGUUGGAUACCUGCUGCGGACCAUCUUGUAGGCAAUGUUAACCAACUGUCGAUGGCCUUCCGAGGUUCUGGAGCUGUCCAGCUGUCAACCGAUUGCCGUACGGCCCAGAGCUGUCAGCGCCGACGUACAACAGCAGGCAUGCGGCGCCGGCGGCAGCCCGCGUGCUGACGCCAGGAAGGGGGGCGUCGACGGCGUCGAUGGGGCGGCAGCCGCCGCUGGCGCCAUGUCCACCGGCGUCAGCGGUAUGGCCGGGUGUACGGAUCCCGGUGGCGACGGCGUCGUCAUGGCAUCGACGGCAUCCUCCUUCAUCACAUCCGCAACACCGUCGCCCUUCACCCCCACUGGAGCUGUCGACAGAAUGAAGUCUCUGAUCAGCGGCGGUGCGAAGGGAAGAUCUGGCCGAGCGCUGCGGCAGGGCCAUCUAUCUCCUAGGCUGGCGGUGCACGGCCUCGGCGGUGGCGCCGCCGCUGCCGCUGCCGUACCCGUAGCCACCGCCGCCGGUCUAGCGGCGGCCCCGGAAAGGUCGGCGCUCUCCGUCAGCCGCUUCGCCACCGCAUCACUGGGCCCAGGCACCUCGGCCGGCGGCUGCGGAACCGUCGCCAGGCCUUUCACCUCCCGCAGCCUUAUGCCGUACACGAGCUUCGGCGGCUCUGCACACCUUGGGUCCGACCCAUGGGUCGUCGGCGGCCAAAUUUCCUCCGCAGGGUGCUCCCGGAGUGGAAGCACAACAGUUUGGCGACCGCCGCUACUCAAUGGCUCGUUCAACAGUCGCGGCGGCAGCGGCGGCGGCAGAUAUACGGCAGCUGUGCCGGGAGGCACGGCAAUGAUGACCUCGGGCUUGCAGUACGGCGGCGGCGGUGACUUCUGCCCGGGAUCCCAUAUCCAACCACCGCGCUCGGCGCUCGGCAGGGUUUCUCGCAGCGGUGGCGGCGGCGGCGGUGGUGGCGGUGGUGGCGUCAGCCCAGCGUACGGCAGCUCCCUGGCAAGAGUGCCGCACAUGGGUGCCGUAUCCCAACCGCUUCCAAAGCUAAAUACCGUACAGUUCUCGCCAUCAUUUCCUGAACAAGCCAGCCUCUGUACCGCCACAAGCACUACUGCCAUGAGAUUCCCGAUGCCACAUGGGUGCGGCCGUACAGCUGCCAUACAGCGCUCAGGAUGUGUCGUACCAGAUGUAGCGACUACGGCACCCCCGAUGGCGACGGGUGGCGGGGCCCGCGCGAGCUCCGUGCUUACUUCCCCGCCUGGCAUUGGCGGCGUCAGUGGCAUCGGCGGCGGCACCAUAACAGCCGCCGCUGCAGCCGUUGCUGCUGGCGGCGGCGGCGGCGGCGCCAUUACCGGAGCAGCGGCUGCACUGGAAAGUGGCGAUUCCGGACUACCUGGUCGGAUAGGCGGCUGCUCAGAUCGCGACACCGCCAUGGGUAUCAUUCUCGGCAGCUUGGACUACGAUACCGACGGUGAGGCAGCGGGACUUCAACAUGUCCCGUCACCGCCACCGUACUUCACGAUUGCGUCUACUGCAGAAGGAAAAGACGUCGACGGCGGCGCCGCGGCGAUGAUGACGGCGUACGGCGGCACUGGUACCACCGGCGACGUCAGUGACAGAGUGGUGGCGGCACAGGUCGGCAGUGGUGGAGGUGGUGGUGAUGGUGGGGCCAACUGCUACCCAGUUCAAGCCGCGUCACCGGCACAACUUCCUGGCGUUACGUACGACAAUGUGUACGACAAAGCAGCGGGGACGUCGCCGACAGGAGGUUUCCAGGCCCGCCGGCAUUCUUCGUAUGGUGAUGGCUCCGCCACCUCGCCCGCCGCCCCGAUGCCACCGAUGCCGCAGUUGUUCAUCAUUCCGGCGGUACGGAACAUGCAACAGGCGAUGCCAACGCCGGAGCAGGUGGAUGCGCAUGCAGCCAUGCCGCCAUCUUGGAAGUCACCGCCCGACACGUCCUCGUUGAGGAGUGCUGCAACCCCGGUAACAUGCGAGAUCGGUAGGACUUACCCGUUGUACGGCGCACCGGCAACGCUGAAGCUCAACACUGACAUCGAUGCGCCGCCGCUGUUAUCUGUGCCGCCGUUCGCGGCGGCGGCGACGGUAGUGUCAGACGUCAAUGCUGGCGGCGGAUGCGACGUGGGGGAGCUGUCUCUCAGCUUAGCGGCUGGGUUUCGGAAAGUGCCCACGGCGGAAGUGUUGCCGCUGCCGCCGCCGCCGCCAGCGCCCCCGCCAGCGCCAUCCCUGGCGGAGAUGGCGGAGGAGAUGGUUGUGGGAUCGCACGGCGCCUGGAUCCACCCACCACAACCCUGGUACGGCCGUCCGGUGGCAGAAUGUAAGGAAGAAAUAUCUUCCAGUACGAACAACCUGAACCCUGCUUCGACCAUAGGAUCGGCACUGACAGCGACAAGCUUAAGCGGUGAUUGCCGUACAAGCAGGGAUGUAACCAGGCGAGCAGCAACGGCGGUGUUGGAGGCUGGCGACGGGAGCGCGACGGGGCUGGGGCCUUCCGUAGGUAUCGGCAACGACGGCGGAGGCAGCAGCAGAUGCGGCGGAGGCAGAGGUGGUAGCGGAGGCGGGCGGGUGGCUGUCUCACACCCGUCAUCUCCGCUAUUGAGGGAAGCAUUGUCGCCGCCGCUGCCGCCAUCGCCGCCGCCGCCGCCGCCGCCACAGCAACAGACGCCAAGAAUGGGCGACGGGAUGCCCUUUGCGUCUGUACCUUUGACGAAGCUACAGCUGGAGAACUCGGAAAUCACACCGGCGUGUUCGACCGGUAGCCCAAAAUCCGUACGACUGCGCAUGCUGCAGCGCAUGGUGGGCGCCGUGCAGGAUACGAUGUACGACACUGCGCCAGUAGUUAGCGGGGGCGGAGGCGGUCAUGGUCUGCGGAACCCGGUGUACGACGGUACCAACGCCAACAGCCUUGGUAGUGGCGGCGGCCAACCGUCGCAUGUGGUAGUGGCGGCAGUGGCGCCUCCGCCAUUGCCGCCGGCGGCGCCGCCGCCGUCGCGCCGGAGCGUCCGUAGCUUCGGAGAGCAGGUGAGGGGAAGCUCAAUGAAAAAAUGACAUCAUGGCAUUUGUAUUGCUGGAUUUAGGAUUUUAUGGCCUAGGAUUGGAUCUGGAUUUUGGCUUCGGGUUGUGUGGUCAUGAUUUGAAUCUGGAUUCGGGCAUUGAGGCUUAGGGGACGCAUUUGGAUCUGGGUUCCAGACUUCUUUUUUUCCGACUGUGUCGAAUCGAGUAAGGUAGGAGCUUAGCAGCUUGGCAGCUUGGGUUAUGAGAUCAGAUCCCCCAUCAGAUCCGCUCCGCCGUGUACUUCAAUCACCUUUUUGCUAUACUGGUAAAUAGUAUAAAUCAAUAGGUUCUUCAUAAGCUAAGAAUAAUCCAAAACCCCAGUUCUUUUGGUUAUGCGUUUUGUCGCUGAAUAAUUAACAAUUUGUCCGUGAUGGCGGAAUGUCUCCUGUACCCAAUGUACUACAUAUGUACGGCAACGUGUACGACUGCAGGUGCGACUGACCUUCGAGGAGCUUAUGGGCGUAGAGCGAAGUAAUUUGGAGGACGGCGUCACGGUCAUCUUCCGCGGUCCACGUGUCGUGUGCGGUAUCAGUACUUGGCAGUACGGCGACGAGGAAUGUACGGAUAUGUACGGCAGGCGACGGACCGCUAUAGACAGCGGUGAGGAGGACUUGCCGUUGACGGGGGAUGACGAAUUGGCCAUGUUGGGCAGACUUGGCGGAGGCUUAACCUGCAGAGGCGAGAUGAUGCUGACAUCAGCGACGGAAACGGCGGCGGCGCAUGCGCGAGGCGUUGCGGAAAGACUGGAGUCCCUUGCAGAGGUUAUGGCACUCGACGUGAUGGACGAUCCGGUGGCGGCGGCGGACAGUAGCGGUGGAGCCGAUGCUGACGGUGACGCUGCCGCUACAGCCGGAGCCGCCGCCUCCGCCACCACCGCCUCCGCUGCCGUCACCUUCGGGGUGGCGGCAUCACCGGACGACGCAGGUGAUCAGCAUCUCUACGCGACUCAGUCUAACCCACUCUUCUACAAAACCGCUAACGGCGUGCUCCCUGCGUUGACGCCGUCGUAUGGUGGCGGUACGGACAUCACUAGCGACCAUGUUGACGACGAUGUUCCAAACCCAGAAGGCGCACCCGCCACGAGCGUCGGGGGCCUUGGUAGCGGCGCCGACGACGGUGGCGGCGGGGCUCCUGAUGACGCUCGUGUCGGUGUUGUACGGCGGCGUACGACGAUCAUGUCGCCCGAAGCACGGAAGUACUUGCGACGGCGGCGGAUGCCGGCGCCGCUGCGCCGCGCACUGGCAAUCUGCGAGAGCGGACAGGGCGGGUUUGUACUGCUAGAUGGGGCGACGUACAGUGCGUCAUCGCAGGAGGCCCUACAAGAACAAUGCAUGGUAGGUACAACGAGCAUUCCUGCAACCACCCUACCGAACCCGCGCACGUGUGCAAGUGCAUCCAACCACGAAUGAAUGAAUGAAUGAAUCCAUUCAUGUCCGUGUGUGCAUGUGUACGCAUGCGUGCGUGUGUGUUUCGCUUUUGCCAUCGCUUAUGCUGACGCGAAUACAGCUGAGGAACAAAGCGCAAGUGAAUCAGCGUGUAUGUGGUUGCGUGUAUCAUGUCUUUUCCGCCUCUUCCCUCGCCCAUACCCCUCACCCUUUAACUGUCGUCCCUCUCCCUUCCCCUUCCCCAUCCCCCCUGCCCCUUCCCCAUCCCCCCUACCCCUUCCCCAUCCCCCCUACCCCUUCCCCAUCCCCCCUACCCCUUCCCCAUCCCCCCUACCCCUUCCCUCCCAACAAAAAAGAUCCUGCACAUGGGCGAAUACGUGCUGGCCGGUGUACGGCGCCCACUGGACCUCUACCUCGCGCUGGACUUCGCACACCUUGCCAGGGUGGCAUACCUGCGACCCCUGGCGUGCGCUGAGCAGCUGAGCUUGGGUUUGCCCUCCGCUCCCGUCAACACAGCCUCCAUCUGCUUUUCUUUGGUGGUCGGGAUGCAGACCCUGCUGGCCUGGAACACGGAAGUAGCCAAGGCGGCGCUGGCCGUGCUGCGGGAUGCAGUGCUGCCGGCCCUGCUCAGCCACGGUGGAUAUCUGGUGGGUGUACGGCGUACGGCAUUUAGGUUGUGGGGCAGCUGGGGUGCACGGCGUACGGUGUACGGUGGUGGAACUUGGGUCAACCACCAGCCUUGGGUUUUGUUCCCCCGGACCCAUUUCCGGACUCCGGAAUCUCCCGGCCCCUUUCCCGUGGUGACAAAACACAGGUCUGGGAGUAGGGCGUGGGGUUUUGCCGUAUUUCAAACGCAACCCACGAAGGCCCCCUCUCCCUCUUCCCUGUCCCCACCCCGCGUCCCCAGUCGCCGUCGCUACGCCCCCUCUCCCCAACCCGUGUGAUAGUUCCGGACUUUGAUCGCCGGCAGCUCAUUUCUGAGUUGAUUGCAUGAGGUUUCCCAAUCCCCCUGUGCAGGGAGAGCAGGCGGUCCUAAUCCCAAAUUCGUAACGUACACGGCAGUUCGUGCUUUGGGCGUCGGGGCAGUUGUUUUUACCGUUGAUCUGCUUGCUCUGCUUACUUUCCUCCUUCGACAUUAUCGCUUUUUACACUUUGCACAUUGCCAAUGGGUGCAGUUACUUAUAUAUCUUUUCCAUCUACUAAUUAUGAUUCCUUUUCCCCCUUCUUCCCUUUCCUAACCCAUCCUCAGGUAGAGGACGCGGAUGGUUUGUUGCUGACGGCCUUCUCCAGCAGCCGGUCGGGCCUGGCCUGGGCUCUUGAGUGUCAGGAAGAGGCCAAGCACCUCGACUGGUGCGUCAGGGCGUGAGGGCCCUGAAUGAAACCGUUCGGAUGGGGAGGGAGUUCAGAUGGGGAAGAAGCAAGUCUUGGUUUGGGGGUCCAAGGGUAAGGGGCGGGAAGUCCAGGUGCGGUGGAGGGGACGUGUAAUAUCAAGGGGAGUACAACUGCCGACGACGACCAAAGCGGCGAGCUGCGAAGGAAGUCCUACGCAGCCACGAGACGCAGCUGCUUUUGUGCCUUUACUUUACUACCGACAUUGAUCUGGGGGGAAGGAACGGCACAAGACUUUUAUUGCAUGAAAUUACAAACUAAAAUAAUAUUGUUGAUAGUUAAAUAGUAGAAAAAUAAAGAAUAAUAUUAUUAAUUUUUAUUUAAUUUAUGAAAAAAGUGACAUCAAAUAGUAUAACUUCGUUUCAAAUUUAAAGGUAGCUUGUUUGGCAACAUCUUAAAAUAAUGUAAUAGUUCGCCUUGGACGUCGAAACCAAGGUAGUGAUUGGCAUCAUGCCAACACCCUAAGGGGUUUCUUCCCGCCGGGAGUCCUCAUGCAGCUCCUUGAGCCGCAUUUCUUACCAGCUGUGCAACUUUAAGAAAAAAGUUGCCGACCAAUUGCCUAAACAGGCCGAAGGAGUUGCUCGGCCAUGAUCUGGGCAAGGAGCUGUACAUGGAUGACCUGGACAUGGAAGGAAAAGAGGAGGAGGAAGAGGACGGGGACAGGGAGAGUGGCAACGAUAUAUUGCCCGUGGGGCUACCGCCGGCACCCCCAGUGCCCCAUGUCAAUGGUGGCGACGGCGGCGAUGGUUCCACCGCUGCUGCUGCUGCCGCUGCACCUUAUCCUCGACGGCAUUUGGUUUUUCGGUGAGUGGCCGGAUGGUUGACACAUUGACACAUCGUCUGUAAACUUCAGAAUAUGAAAUAACUAAGGAAAUGGUGACACUCAGCGAUCAGUGUUGUGGUAAUUGCAGAUGCUGAGUAAGUAGCUCCUAGGGAAACAUUUCUUGGUAAAGAGAGCAUUUUUGGUAAAGAGAACAGCACGGCGCACUGUGCAGCAGCACUGUAUGCAUUCUGUGAUUUAAUGUUGUGUCCAUGAUAUCCCCCAUUAUUUGCAACUUCCCUUAUUAGGGCGAUUAUACAAGCACUACAGUCUUCCAUCAAUGCCACUUAUCACCACCAUCACCACCAUUACCACCAUCAUCACCAUAACCAUCACCAUCACUCAGCUACGGCUCUUGCCAGCGUAGUCCAAUAAAUAUACACCACCCUCUACCAACCACCCGCGUGUGUGUGUGUGUGUGCACAGGGGCCUCCGCAUCAAGAGCGGCCUAGACUGCGGUGAUGUGUUGGCAAGAGUACAUGCGACCACAGGGCGGAUGACGUACCGGGGUCGGGUCAUGAAUCGCGCGGCACGUAUUGCUGGCAUGGCCACCGGAGGUCAGGUGAGCUGCAGUGGCUGCAUGUAGUAGCUGGCCGCUGUAGUACAAAGGCCUCCCGAGACGCUGUGAAUGCGCUUUAGCGCGUAUUUGUGUUGGGCCACGUGUGAGCGUGCGAGGUACGGUUGGGUGGGUGCAAUUGUCGUGCAGUUGCGGUACAGGUAAUAGCUGUUGAGUUCCGUUAUAAUUGACAGCUGUUAGUGUUGGCUGCAGUUUGUUGAGAGGGCUACUGUCCCACCGCGCUCACACCUAUGCCAUAUAUACAUAUAUACAUACCUGUAUAUUAUAUACAUGACCGGAUCCAUGGCUUAGUGACAAGUUAUUAAUAAUAUACAUACAAUAUAUAUACAUACAUAUAUACAUACAGUUUAAGUCAGGCAUUACAUGUAAGGCAUAUACUUAUUCCCCCAGGGGUAAGGCAUUACUAUUAUAGCACAGAGGUUUGGCAGCCUCCUCGUGUUGGGUGACACCUUUGAGUUAGUGAAGGUUCUGGGUUCAAUUCCUUGGCAGACCCCCGACAUAAAUCGGGAGGAUUACAUUUACUAAUCGCCUGAGGCGUGGAGAUGAGGUCUAGUUGAUGAUGGACUAAGUUUCGCAUGCUGAGUUGGUGAUGUUGGCUGAUCUGUCUCUACGGAUGUCGGGUGACUUGAUGAGGCGGGGUCUAGGUAGCAGGACCAAACAACCACAACCGUCGGUUGUAUGGUGGAAUUCACUUUCAAAUAUAUAUAGUCCAUGGCCUCUCGGCUUUAACAGACCCCCCCGCACUUGUGUGCGGCACUUGUAUAACGCGUCAACACGUCAACGCAACUGUAGUAGCUGGCCGCUGAAAAGACUGGUGAGCGACUGCUACAGCAACAGCUCCAGAAGGUGGUGUAACACGCACGCUAAUUAUAUUACAUCAUUUCACUGUGUUUACAUCCCACCUUACAUUAUAAUAAAUGAUGUACAUCAUUAUCCACACUGCCAUUCUCUUCCCCCACCGCGGCAGGUGCUAUGUUCUCGAGGGCUGUGGGACAGCAGCGGCCUGGCGGCGGCUCCCGACCUUUGUCAACAGGCACUGGCAGUGGGGGCGAGCCUUGGCGACGUGCAACUCAAGGGGCUGUCCACGAAGAUGGAAAUCAUCAGUUGCAUGUACGUACAUAAAUACGCACAUAUGCAUGUACAUACAUAGGUACAUAUGCACGUACAUACAUACGUACGUACAUAUGGACGUGCACACAUACGUACAUAUGCACGUAUGCAUAAGUGUAUGGAUACGGCGUCGUGCUGCAAAUGCAAGUUAUGCCUUCGGAGGGUAACGCACAGAUGUACGUGCACAGAUGUACGUGCACAGAUGUCGACCGUAUGCCGUUACGUAAUGCAGACUUGUUCGUACCUUGGCCGACAUUGAUCUCCUUCAUUUCAGCCCGUCCCUUCGCCUCCGUCGUCCACAUCCCACAUUCCUCUGCUUUCACAGCUAAACCCCUAAACCCCUAAAACCCUAUUUCCCAAACACUUAACUAACCGACUUGUCCUGCCCGGCGGUUCUUGCCUUCCUGGCGCCCCUCAGCCGCAUCCUGCGCUCCGAAGUCAUUCCUGUGGCUCAUGAAGAUGUCGUAUUGGAAAAUAGCAUAGGGCCCAUCGGCACUGCGCCCUUCCAGUUCCAUCAAAAGCCAGGUAUGCAGGAGCAGCAGCACCAGCAGCAGGAGCAGGACGAGGAUGCAGAGGACAACGGUGCCGACGUCGACGUCGAAGCCAGGGAUGGCGCCGACGCCAUCCCGCCGAAGCCAGGGAUGGCGCCGAACUGUGCCGUCCGGACAGUUCCUUCCGGUGGCGGAAAUUACCCAGGCACGGCAACGGCGACGGCAGCGCCGUGCCCUCUGGACGGCGGCGGAUCAACACCCACCGGGGCAUAUCCAGGGAGCCUUGCGUCGGCCGUACCAGCUCUGUCGGAGUACGACUCCGACGGCAGCGGCAAAGAAUGUGCUGGCGGUAGUGGCGGGGGCAGCAUCAGGAUCGGUCCGGGUGCUGCCGCCGGAGAGAGCUCUGCUGCCGUCGUCGCCGCCGCUGCGGCAGUGGAGUCAGCGACGGCCGGCAGCGUCGCUCCUGCUGCCGCCGUUGUUACCGCCGCUGCCGAAUCCGUUCCAUAUGUAUCUAAAGGUGAGAUGCUACAGCCUACGGUGGCAAUAGCAGCAGCGGCAGCAAUUAAUGCGGCGGCGGCGGCGCCGUCAAUGGCGGCGGCGGAGGGCAUGAAGGGCCCAGUUGUGUCUGGGACCGCCGCGGUGACGGCGGCGGCGGUGACGGCAGGGACGGCGGCGAUGAAGGCGACGACGGCGGCAGCGGCGGCGGCGGCUGCAGCCAAGAUGACGCUCGAGCGAGGCAGCACUGGAGGAAUAGCACGCUUAAGUCAAGGAGCCAGUCCUCCGAAUGUUAAGGAAUUCAGUCGCUACGCUGGCAGCUCAGCAACGGCAACGCUUCUAAGCCCGAAAGGUACGACAAAUGCAUCUGCAAAUAUGGCGGCAGCACUUGCGGUAGCUCGCAUGCGGCAUGCGAGCCAGCUGAGGCUUAACCGCUGUGUCCACGGCAGCGGCGGCGGUAUCCGUGGCGGUAGUGGUGCCGUACAGGCGGCUGUGCUGGCGGCGCAGGAUGAAGAUGACGACAUGGCGGAUCGGCUGGUCGCGGGCUACAGCUCCGACGGCAGUGGCGUCGACAGCGGCGACGGGGGGCCCGGCAGCGGCAGCGACGGCGGCAGCGCUGCAGAACCUGACCGAGUUCGUGUUGUUGUCAAUGGCACUUCUGGCGGUGUGGCAGCAUUACAUGGAAUGCUCCGCCGCCAGCGACCCGCUGGCAGUACGACAACAGCGGGGCUGUCCAGCGCCGCCAGCGGCGGAGCGGGCCAAGGCAAUGCCGCUGGAGCCGCUGUCCUCUCCGCAGCUGCAACCGCUGCCGCUGCCGGCGGCGGCAGUGGUGGCACAGCAAGAGGAGGCCAUCUUGCCAUGGCGGCGGCGGCAAACUUUAAAAAGGCGUUUCGUGUCGUCAAGAGGUCAAUCCUGGAGGAGCCGGACGGCGGUGGCCUUGCCAGCGCCUCCACCGCCGGAGGCUACGGCAGCGAUCGAUCCAGUGACGGCGACGGUGGCACUGGCGCUGGCGUCAGCGGCGGCGUGGAGGCCACGAAGCUUCGCCGGCCGCCGCCGCGGCGUGCGAGCGAGCUGGUGAAGUCCUCCGCAGCAGCCGUGACGGCGGCUGCGGGCGCCGGCGGUGCCCGUCUGUUCAAUCGUCUACGCGGCCUAGCCGUCGUACGUGGUGGCGGCGGGAUUAACCUCAGAGGUCGCGGUGGCGGCGAGGCAUUAAGCCGUUUUGACGAGCUGGAGGAAGACGACGAGUCGCGCUUCCGACCCACGUCAUCUGCCACCUCAGCGUUUUUCCCAUCGCUAUCACGGCCGCGUCUACGUGACGGCAGCGGCGGCGGCCUGUCGUACACUACAACGGAGCGAAGCAGCAGUUGCAACCCGUCACCGUUACAUCUCGUGAGUGUCGCCGGCCAGGCCUCUCGCACCGUUGCUGGCGGCGGCGGCGGCGGCACUGGCAGCGGUGACGCUACGGCCGCUGGCGGCAGCGGCGUCUUCGCGCGCGCCAGUAGCCGUCUAGGUGGCAACAGCCUGGUUGCGGAAAUGAGCCUUGCCUCCAUGACAAUGCGGCGACAAAUGCCCGUCUCGCGAUUUCUGAAAUCUUCUGCCAGCAGCGGCGGUGGCGGCGGCGGCGGUGGCGGCAGUGGCGUUGGCGGCAUGGGUACGGCACUGCCACCCACCUCACCCGUUACGUUACUGUCCACAUUGCCGAUGACGUCAUCAUCAGCAUCGACGCCGGGGGAGGCGGCGGCAGCGGCGCAAUCGAUGUCGCCAAAGCAGCGAGGGCCCCCGCAGUUGUACGGAAGACCCCGAUCGAACAGCGGCGAGGGCGCACGUAUAUUCCGCGUCGGGGGUGUCGGCACCGGUGGUGAAGCCACCACGUACGGCAUUCAGGAAGCAGACGGUGGGUCGUGAUGGCCAGGUAUGGGGUGGUAUGGAGGGUGGAAGGCAGUUUUUCGGGGGAGGCCUAAAUCUCUGACGAGGCACGUUUUCUUUUAAAAAAGCUUGUUUGUUAAGCCCCAGGUUCGAAGCCCGGACGCCGCUGAAGAGUUGCUAGACGUUGUUACGUUUCGCGCUGCUAUGACCUGAGUGCCGUACAGUUCUCGCUGCUAUGACCUGAAUGUCGUACGUGUUGCCUGCAGGGGAGGAAGAGGAGAGUGAGCUGGAGGGGGCCGAGGCGGCGGGCACCGGGGAUGAUACGGUUAAGAUUAGCACCGCUGGCAGCUUCACGGCAGAGGCGGAGACGGAGGCGACCGCACCUGGCUGGGCUUCCACCUUACGCCGCGGCUCCGAAACCCGGUCCUUCCAUGUUUCGCCGCUACGUGGUGGCGGCGGCAGCGCCUCCGCCAUCGGUACGGUACCCUCCCUGCCGUUUCGUCUGGCUUCCUUCACGUCGUCGUUCCUGCAGCGCGCUGUGUCCAGGAAGCUUUCACCCACGGCAGCGGCAGCGUCGGCGGCGGCAGUCAUUGCACCCGGAGAAGAUGUCGUACGGCCGUACAGUGGCAGUACGGUGGCUGGAACGGUGUCGCCCGCUGGUGUUGCACUUGACGGCGGUGCGCAGCGGUCGGUCUCGUUUCUAAGGGCUCGGGGUGGUGGCGGAAGCAGCAUAGGCGACGGCAAGCAAGGCAGCGGUGACGGCAGCGUGUCGCCGCCACCGCCGCCGCCGCUGCAACCGGCUUCGGCACAACUCGCCGUCAUGGACGACAGCCGCAACGGUGGCACGGCGGUGCACAUGCCGACGGCAGCGGCGGCGGCGGCGGCGAUGUCGCCGCCAACUCAGACCACAGCAACGCACCUGUCGCGCGUCGAUUCACUGCGGCGAAACUCAUCCAAGGAAUCCAGUGCUACCGUUCACACUGCCAUACAUGAAGUCUUACAGAUCCGCCCGUCGGACGGUUUGUACGGUCACGUAUUCCCAAGCCCGACCGCCACCACGUCGGCAGUUUCGCCAUCGGGGACAGCGUCGUUAUCAGGGCCGCCGCCACCGCCGUCGUUCCAGCCGGUACGGCUGGGCCGUUCCGCCACCGGUCUAGGUUUCGGUGCCGCGACGGAGGCGGCUGGAAAAAGUGUAAAUGGACAGGAGCAUCGUUCAACAUCCGCAGGACAGGAGGGCCAGGGAGGGGUGGCUUCGCCACCCGUUUCCGCCGCCAGCCGAUACGGCAAUCCUUUGACGUCGGCUCUCGAAGCCACGCCCCCAUCACCCCGCUGCGACGGUUCCACUCCACCGUUAGAGCCGCAUAUGUCCAUAUACACCGGUGACGGUGACGGCGGCGGCGACAGCGGCAUCAGCAAUUAUGGCGUGUACGGCGGCAGUAGUGCUCGGAUGCAUCAGCAGACGGUUGUCAAUGCUGGCGUCGUCGCCAACCCAGCAGAUACUCACGCCGUCGGUGCGCUUGUUGGCGGAGGCGGCGGUGUUGGCAGCGGCGGCGGCAGUAGCUGGGUCGGUUUGUUCUCAUCCUUGCAUAAUUUCCUUGGCUUGGCAUCACCACACCAGGCAGCGGCAGCAGCUACUGCAGUUGCUGCUACUGCUGCUACUGCCGGUACGUUGUGUCCGAACUCCCCUAAAAAAACCCUACCCGCGGCGUCGCCAGCUGUCUUGAGCAGUAGCGGCGCCGCCACCGCAGCAGGCGCCGCCGCAGCGGUAUGCGCAGGCCGGCGGCGGGCCGUGUCUCACUACUUAAUGGACGAGUCUGUCGACGGUGGCGGCGCUGAUGGCGGCGGCCUUGGAAGUCCUGCGAACGCGGCUGCGGCGGCGCCGCCGACGGGACAGCGGAGCCAGCGGCGGCGGUCCGUAAUCGAGGUGAGUGGGAACGUGCUGUUCCUCAACGCCAGGUCGUCGUACGCCGACAGCGGAUGGCAACUGCCCGCGGAGUCGGAGACGUACGGUUGCGGCGGCAGCAGCACCAUGCUAGCGGAUCAAUCCUGCGAUGGUGGCGCUGGCGAUGCCGUGGAGCCGGAUGCCAUGUACGACGUGUACGAGUUUGCCGAUUUGCUGCACCACGAUGUUUACAGUGGCCAGCUUGCAGCCGCUGCCAAGGCGUCGCCGCCGUCGCCGCCGCCGCCGCUAUCAUUGGCCGCUGCCGUACCCAGCGCUCCGCGUCGUCGCCGGAGCCGCCGCAGUACGAAUCUUUUAGCUGGCGUAGGUAGCGGUAGCGGCGGUGGGAAUGGCGGCGGCGGAGGAGAAACUAAUCUCCGUACGGAUGUCGGCAGCCGGCCGUACUCGCAAUUUCGGCAGCUAUCUAGCAGCUUCAAGGGUGGCAGCCAUGAUGUGGGCGGUUCUAAUUCUCAGCAAAGGCGCUCCCAGCCUGUAAUGCAUUCACCUCGUCCUCUCGCGCACUUCGCUGCCGUCACCGCGGCAGCAGCUACCGCGGGCGACGACAGUGGCAUCGGCAACGGCAACGGCAGUGGCAGCGGCGCAGCCUUCGGCCAAGUGCAACGCUCUAAUACGUCUGCUGCUCACGACCUUGAGCCCGGCGGGGCCGUGAGUGGCCUGGGGCGGCUUGUACGGGGGCUCAACGGGCUAAUCGGCCGCGCAAACAGUACGACAUGCAAUGGCGGCCGCCGCCACCUCUCUGGCGGCUCCCGUCAGGUCUUUGGCAGCCAACGCCGCGGCAGCGUCAACGCCGCCUCCGGCGUAAUGCGCAGCAGCGGCUCCGCCACUGUUGACUUGUACUGCGAUCGCGGCAGUAGCGGUGACGACAGGCUGGAGCGCGGCACCGUCGUCGUUGCCGCUACUGCCGCUGCCGCAGCAGCGACGGACUGCGGUGGCGGCAGCGCCAGCGGAGAGCCGACCACAGCAACGGCAAGCGGACGGCGGUUGGUUCCGGAGCUGGCACGAUCGGCACGAGAGCUGGUGAGUAGGGUCUGGAGCAUGCGCAGCACGCACAGCAUCGGCAACGAAAGCGAUGGCGGCGGCGGCGGCGGUGGCGGUAGCGUCAGUGCUGGUGCCACAAGCAGCAGCGGUGGCGUCAGACGAGACGUGGCUGUCAGCCCGGAACUUACGGCGGCGGCGACGGCCGCGAUGCCGCAAUUGGCUUGCGGCUCUUUAGGUGAACUGGAGCCAGGGGGAGCACUUGUGGUACAGGAUGCGUCUAUUGGGGGACAGCGGCAGAAUAACCGGCAGGAACGGCAUCACCAACAACAUCAUCAUCAUCAUCAUCAUCAUCAUCAGCAGCAGCAGCAGCAGCAGCGGCGGCGGCGCGGUAGCGUCCAGGCGGCAGUGGCCGAGGCCUAUGAGCUAGCGGCAUCCGUACGUGCUGGCGGCGGCAGCGACAGUAGCGACAGCGGCGACGGCGAUGACGAGGACAAGGACACCUGCCAAUACUACAGCAGCAGAGGCGGCUUUGGCGGCGGUCAUGCGUACCAUUAAACAGGAACGAUAACAUUAUGUAACAUUAGCAGCUAGCUGUUGCACACGACCACCCACUACUACCCGCGAUUACCAACUACCACCCGGCUGCGCGGUGGCAAAGCACGCAGUGAGGAGAGCGAGGAGCAUGCUAAUGUUAAGUGCGCGUACGGGGGAUGUGCUUAGAAAGGACAUUUCGUUGAUGCCAUUGCACCACGAUGCACUGUAUGUAUGUUUGUACUGUUUACCAAAGUGCCGUGAUGCACUUGUGUUUCGGUUACAGUUACACUACGUUAUGCAGUUGUUGUGCACUUCUGUGUUUGUAUGUGCGUACGUCUGUCUGUAUGUGUCUGUGCGCUGAGUAGUCCGCAACUUAGGCGAAAUGUCAGACCGCUAGCCAGCUAGGUAGGCAACUGACUAACUAACCGAUUAAAUAAUUAACUGAUUGGCUAUUGGCAGGAGGGAUGGCCUUAGCAGCUAGUAUGAGGAGCUGGCUAACAGCACGGCAGGGGUUUAUGAAGGCGGAGAUGGCUCCCUAACUUCCGAAUGGUGAAUGCGGUGAAUUCGUCUGGUAUUCGUCCGGUACCAGACCUGAAUACCUAAUAGAAUUCAGGGAAAGUUCAACGGAGCAAUUAAGAUUUGGGGCGGAAUGGUGGUGUGUUGUGUUGUGCUGUGCUGCUGUGGUAUCGUAUGGUAUGAUAUGGUAUGAUAUGGUAUGAUAUAAAAUGAGAGUGGGGUUAAAGAGGCCGUGAGGAUGGGGGAACAGAGGAACCAAUACGAAUCCUAGUACUAGUAAUGGUAGUCUGAGUCGUACAAUUAGUCGUACUGUCACAGUAUUGCUCGUAUUGCCAGUAUUGGACCCGAGGCGCAAACGCCUACCUCCGGACUGCGGAUCCGUCCCCUUCUUAGUCCUUACCACCGCCCCACAUCCUUACCCCUAAGGGACGUCUUUCCGUCGGCCUCUUGCCUUUGUGUUAGUUUGUCCGUCCAUUUUAUCGGAUAUUCAUAUACUAAUUCAACCGACCUCUAAUGAUUGAGACUUCAGCUGCAGCGGUCAACAGUCAAACAGUCCACCACUUCGGAUGUCAUGGUGGACCAAUCGACAUAACGAAAUUAGCUGCCUUGACAUGUCAUAUGUAUGUGACUGCUGAUAAUUCGUCGGAUUGCGGGUCCACGGUCAGAUUUAAUUAACUGUUGCCUAACUUGGCUUGCAUGCCCUUGAGGCGUCGAAACCUGCGUUUAAUAGCUUCGCUUGUUAGAAUGGGAAAUAGACUGACUGGAAGUAGGAAAGGGAUUUCGGAGCGAAUCAUAUUAUAUAAAAAUUUACGAACUAAAUUUGACGCUGGACUUUUGGCCCCUGGGCAUGCAUGGAGGUGACAGCCAUAUGCCGUACACAUGUGAUGGACGUAAUAGAGCUUCUGCCAGGGGCUUCGGAGCGUUUUGUUCGCGUACGCGAGCGCGUGUAUUUGUAUAUGUCUGUUUUCUUACUAGGCGAGAACGUCUCUAGUAGAGCCGGCCGCCGAACAAGCCUCUCACACAAUGAUGCUGAAAAAGCACCUCAACGCGUAUCAAAAUAGACGAUGUGCGAGCCGUACAGUACAACAGCUACUACAUUGUCGCUUAUGGUGAAACACAGCACGAACAGCGUUCAAUGGCAUGCAGGUUGAACAGUCGGAAGGGACCUCCGAAACCCUAAAACCCUUCCUAGUCAUGCCCUUGGCAGCAUCAACUACAUCCUGUAGCAAGCUACAUUUACCUUGGAAUAUCUUGAAGCUAUUAAAGCUUAAUCACAGCAACGGUACAGUCUACAGUAGUUACGAAACCAUACUCGUUAACUCUCCUCCCACGGCCUUGCAACCCAACACUUCCGCAGAAAAGCCUAGGGAUGGCUGUUACACAUACACUCCUGGUUGGCUCGCAGGUCAGGGGGUAACAGGGUCCAAGACCGUUCAUAGACAUGUUAGAUUAUCCAUCCUAGGGCCUCUAAACGUGUAUUUCAAGUGCGGAUUAAGGCCAGGGAUUCGCGUUAAUCCCUGUGCUAAUCCCAGCAGUGGAAAUCCCACCGGGAUUAAGCAGGAUUAGCCGGGGAUUAAGGAACUCCUCAGGACACCGUGUUCUCUAUCCAGAGGACUAGCAGGAGUUAGCAAGAGAUUAGGAAAGAACAUAAACUGAACUUGAUGUCCAUGUAUUUACCUAGCAACUUGUGACAAAGGGUGCAUUUCCAGUGCGGAUUAAGGCCAGGGAUUAACCCUCUGUCCUCCAUCGAUUCUUGCUCAAACGGCUAAGUUGUUGGCAAACUUACAUCGCCUUUUCAACCUUUGGUUCCUUUAUGGAACAAAACUAUGUGGUAAGCUCGUACCAAGGACUUCCGUGCCCUAAUCCCUGGCCUUAAUCCGCACUGGAAAUGCACCCAAAAAGUUAUUACCUGGCCACACCCAGCUAGUAACUUUCCGUAUCUGGAUUAGCGUUCAUGGCGUUAUAUCCUACUUUAAUUUCUAGGUAAUUCCAUAUGGAUGACCUCAAGUAAGCAAUAUCUGAUUUGGUUUGCUCGAAAGGUGCUACUUCAAUGUCAGGCCUCAACGGUGGCCACAACGGCGAGAAGAGUGCGCUUCCUGCCCAUAUUUUAUACUCAUACGAUGCCUAAUGCCCAAAGUAAUUCAGAGCUGGUAAUAUUAGCUUCGAGAUCGCAUCAAAAAAUGUGCAUCGCCCUUUGUACGGCCUUAAUCCCCGCGCUAAUCGCAGGCCUCCGGAAUGGCCUGGGGAUUAGCCGGGAAUAGCGGGACCUUAAUCCCUGCAGGGAUGUAUUUCCAGUGUAUACCGCAGGGUGUAUUUCCAGUGCGGAUUAAGGAUUUAGGUAAUCCUGUCCCGAUCUUUGACGAGGAUCGAUCCUGACAAGUCGGGUGUCGGCUUCCUCGAAGCCGGAAAAAGGGCGGGGGCCCUGUAGCGCCGCGCCGCGGCGGGCGGCACCCAGCGGCAGCCCAAAAAUUUUCGCGUUUGGGGGAACCGCUGGAUGGACACACCGGGGCGCCCAGGAUCGUUUAGAGAAAGGAAUCGAUACCAGUAAAUUGUUGUAGCGGGAUCGGAUCGAGAUUUGUGUGCGCGAGCGGAAGCAGAAUCAGAGUUUUGUCCUGAGACCGUAGGCCCAGGUGUGGUGGAGAGCCUGAUGUGAGCAGAGUUUUACUGCUCCUUGGCCACUAGGCCCGAUGUCAGGUUGGAACCUGGUUGGCUGUUGACAAGAUAAAAUGGGUGGGAGUUAUCCACGCCAAGUGAAGGUGAUUUCCGUUACAAACUGCCUUGGCCGGUGCGUCCUGCUACCGUGCGCGGGAGUUGUAUGAUUGGAAUAUCCCUCAGAAAACAUUGGUCAGGCCGCGCCUUAUAUAUGGUAAACGCGCCCGCCAUUCGUACAAUUGUCGUAUGGUCAACGUAAGACGUAGCUACCCUUUUCGCGCAGCAACUGCUCAUUACGCAGCGGUAGCUACCCGUUUACGCAGCUCCUGGCCAGGUUCAUGGCGGCCAACGGAAACUGAGAAGAAACUAGUACAGGAUAUUUGUCAUAGAACAUUUCUCAGACCGGAGCUAGAUCGUCAGACACAAAUCGCCUGCUUNUACGUCGCCCGGUCGAAACAUACAUCGUCGGUCUUUACGCGGUGCGCCGUAUGUACAUGACCAUUCUCAACGCGUUUAUGUAAUGUUACAGAGUGGGGGGCUUCUGGGCCGCUUUAUCACAUUGUCAGUUCUACGAUGUAUCAUCUUAUAGCACCGUCCACCACUACCACACUAUACUUCGCCAUACGAACUGUAAGUCCAAGGCGGCCGUCUAGGACCCCUCCUCAUCCAUUCACCCGAACAGCCGAAGAGACGGAGGGUUCGGCAAUCGCCACCAAUCUAGCGUGCGAAUCUGGUCCAUCAACUGCGACCUCAACUCCACAUUUCAGCAGCUAGCCAUAAUCUCGCGCUCCCGACUAAUUCGGGGGUCUCCCCAGGAAUCGAACCCAGGACCUUAAACCGCGAAUCGCAGUAGUGUCAACCCAGACCAGACGAGUUUAUAGAUUUUAAUUAACGAUGUGGCAAUAUUCGACCUCCUGCUAUGCCCGGAACGAUACGCAACCAAAGCCGUCAGACUCAGUUUUCUAUGACUAGCUGGAAGUCGCUACAGCCCCCUGCAUCCGUGCAGCCCGGUAGCUAGGGCGGCACGUGUGACAAUUGUUGUGUCUACAUGGUGGGAGCUGUGCUUCUCGCAGCAGUGCUGAUGCUGUGGGAGGUAUGCUUCCGCCCCACAGCCGCGAGCUUCAUCGCGACACACUGCAACUCUUCGGAGGCCCCGAGCAUUGGCCCAAGUAAUUGUACAAACGAGCAGCUUGCGUACUUCGUAGAGGAAUGAAAGCAAAUUUGUCGGCCUGCUGUUGGCCAACAGCCAUGGCAUGUCGGAAUGCCUGUGCGGGCAAAUGGUAACGCAAGCUGGGUAUUCGAGUUAUCAUACGCCGUCAUCUCAGAAUUCCAUUAUGAGAUACGCGGCAGCUUUCGGGAUGAAAUUUAGCGCGAGAGGCGUUGAUGUGACUUUUGAGGUCGGUGAAUGGAGGCAGCUAAACUUAUUUGUGCUCAUACGGUCUUUGUUAGCUACAUGCGAGAUACCUUGCAAUAGAGAAUGCUGUAUAGUACCUAUAACGCGUUUCAGCCGGGCGAGAUAUUAUGUUUGGUCCGUUACACACACACGAACACACACACACACACACACACACACACACACACACACACACACACACACACACACACACACACACACACACACACACACACACACACACACACACACACACGGACAUGGGCAAUCCUACAGGUCGGGGCCCCCCUGGGCGCUUCGCGCUGGGGCCCCGCCCAAAAACCUUUCAGGGCCAUUAUGCCGCGCCUCAGGGUAUAUUGAAUGUAAUAGUGUAAUUCGGAGUAUGAUUGCAAGUCCAAUUCGCUCCGGCGACGUCCGGUGUUUCACAUGCGAUUGCGGCAGAAAAUGUCGCACAGUCGCGAUGUUCCCAUGACAGCCUUAAUCUGGCCUGAAGUAAUUGUAAAGGAUAUUACUCUAUAACUAUGCACUUUUUGAUCAAUGUCAUCGCCAGCCUUGUACUGUGUAGCUGCAACUAUUGGCGAAGAAUGCUCGGUGCGCUUGGUGUAAUUUAUCAACUGGAAAUGAUUGAUUUAUUAUCGUAGACGUAUUUAUAAGCAACGGUUUGUUAAAUGCCUUCUCUAGAGAAUGAAAUUCAUCGAAUCAUGCCCUGAGAGGGCCCCCCAGACUCUCCCAGACCCCAAUUCCGCUUCAGGCCCAAUUGGCUCCGGUUCAGAGUCCAAUUCGCAUGAAUGUACCCUGAUCCGUAUACAUGUGAACACGUCCUUAAUACAUCAGUCGUGUCGGAGCCGUAUGCUUAAGUAAUUUAAUGCAACUGUUGCAUUUAGCAUGAGAUUCUGUUGCCUCCCAUAUCACGUGUGUACAUUUCACUCUCCCAUAUCACUUGCAAGGAUCUGAGUUGCAAACAGCAAACGGCCAGAAGGAGAAGUAUCAGGUACCAUUUGUGCGGCAAGAGUUGUGGGAGCUGCCAGACCAGCGCACCACCUCCUGUUCGCUGAUUUGUCACGGCUACCCCUACACUACCACGUUUCCAAACAGGUUGUGAGAUUUUGGGACCGUGUCCGUUUACAGCGUGGGUCUGUGGCACACCAAGUUUUGCGACAGGAGGUCGCAGAGUCCCUCUCCAACCUCGAAGGGCCCUGAUCGGGGCAUUAGCUAAUGUCUAUAGUCCUCCGUUUUCUAAGUUUUCUGGGGCACGACGUAUGGAAAGAGGCCCCGCAAGGGCUACACGAGGUAAACGAACGAGUGGAAUGGCUGAUUAACAGGCCAUUGCAGAAGGUGUGGCAUCCCGCAUGUCACAACGUUUAUCCCACGUUCAGUGAAUCGCAAGCUUAUGCAGUUUAGGUUUUGCUGUUUGGCAUUGGCGGCGAACUGAGCGUGCAAGGGACGGCGUUAUAUACCUAGGGAGGGGCGAGUAUGCCCCUGCUGCGGCACUGAUAGCCAUAUUGAAUAUGAGAAGCACAUUUUGCUGGACUGUCCGGUGUACUUCAAAAUCAGAUCUGAUUUGGAUUUUCCACGCUUUGAGCAUACGAAGGACGCUAUGAAGUGGGAACCUGAACGUCUGGCAAGGAUGCUGGAAUGUAUGUGGUGCCACCGCAACUCUAUCGUUCCCGUUGGUCGUUAGUGUCCUUUAUAACUUGCUUUGUCUGAAGUGCGAGGUCGGAUGGUGCUUAUAGGCGAUCUGGCUGCCCUUGAGCCCUCGGCUCAUAUUUGGGCGGUUUGCAGGUACGGGAAACGCACCCACGAACAUGACACACACACACACACACACACACACACACACACACACACACACACACACACACACACACACACACACACACACACACACACACACACACACANNNNNNNNNNNNNNNNNNNNNNNNNNNNNNNNNNNNNNNNNNNNNNNNNNCGUCAGCUGCAGCUUUUCGGACGGCGAUGUUCAACGUGGAUCUCGGUAACACACACAUAUGUAUGUGUGUGUUACAUGGUUGGGGGCGCGUGACCCCAUACCUGUAAGACUAGCCAUACGAGCCGAAGGCCCAAAUACUUCACACACAUAUGAAAAACUUAUCAGAGUAAGGUUUCUCUUCGGCGUGCUUCAGAUUGAGUGCAGUGCGACCUGUUCGGGCCCAGGACUUCCUGGUCGGGUGGAAAAGCCGUAAUGCAUUGCUGGUAGGUCUGCUGUAUUAGCUCGAUGAGCUCGAACAAUAGGCGGUGUUGUCAUGCGGCGUUGUCAUGGCGGCGUUGCGCGCUAAAAUUGGCUUAUAUAUUUUUUAUUGUCAUUCAAUUAUGUGAAAUUGCAUUAUUCCGAUUAUUGUUAAAUCCUACAUGUUUUACUACCUUCGCGUUCACGAGCGUUCACGGAUAAGUUGAGUAUGCGAAACAGGCCCGCGACGAUAAAAAAUGUAUAUUUACUACGUGUUCUAGGGGCUGAGGCCAUUUCAUAGUUAUUAUUAUAAAUUUUUAUAUAAAUUUUUAUAUAUAUAUAUGUAUAUAUAUAUAUAUAGAUUUUAUAUAGAUAAUGUCAUAUGGAGAGGGUGGACAAGCGUCCGCGACCUGCAGUUUGUCGGGGGUUCUUCCGAGGUCGGGCCCCGGGGCCCCAUCGGUGAGUUCUCUGCGGCCGGGUCAGGCCUGGCCUGGCAGCUGUGCAUGGCUGGGCACGUACGACUGUGGGGCUUGAUAAGGAGCAAUAAAUGGUGAAAUGUGGUUUCAUAGCGUAGACACUCUUACCUUCUCCCGUUUUCUCCCGUACAGGUGAAGCAUCGCGUUUUGAAUGACGAAUGCGUCUUGGCAUUUGGUUAUAAGUGUUCAUAAGAAGAUAACAGCCAUCGCAGUUCAAACCGGCCAGAACGUCUUCAUACGGGCCGCCCAGGCGGGCGUCUUUGCCGUGGUACGGAAUCCGGUAUUAGGCGCAAAAUAUUUAGCUGUUCGUGUUUACGCGGCUGCAGGGCACAAGACUAUUACUGCUGCUGGCUUUCACCGGGCUCUCGGUCCGCACAAAAUACAUACAAUUCCUCGUCAUUUACUGUUAGCUCUUCCACAUCCGCAUCGAAACCUAAUGCCCUGCUAUUGCAUGGGCAACCAAAACGCAUCCCUCAGCAAUGCACUUGCUGCUGCCUUGCCUAGGCUCUCACACCUUUCCAGCAGCGCUGGUGCUGCCUUGCCCUCGCAACUCAUCACGUACUGAUCGAUCCAAAUCAUGCUGGACAGCCAGACUCCUACAUGCAUGAUCAUUUGCCGUGACUGUUCCUACGUACCAGGGUUGCCUUGCCCCGGGUAUUUUUUAUUAGCAAGCCUGCUAGUAUUGGAGUAUUAGUAUUAGUAUUAGUAUUAGUAUUAGUAUUAGUAUUAGUAUUAGUAUUAGUAUUAGUAUUAGUAUUAGUAUUAGUAUUAGUAUUAGUAUUAGUAUUAGUAUUAGUAUUAGUAUUAGUAUUAGUAUUAGUAUUAGUAUUAGUAUUAGUAUUAGUAUUAGUAUUAGUAUUAGUAUUAGUAUUAGUAUUAGUAUUAGUAUUAGUAUUAGUAUUAGUAUUAGUAUUAGUAUUAGUAUUAGUAUUAGUAUUAGUAUUAGUAUUAGUAUUAGUAUUAGUAUUAGUAUUAGUAUUAGUAUUAGUAUUAGUAUUAGUAUUAGUAUUAGUAUUAGUAUUAGUAUUAGUAUUAGUAUUAGUAUUAGUAUUAGUAUUAGUAUUAAAAAAACUUGUAACUAUUAGCAAGGCUGCUGCUCAUGCAACCCUUGGAAGCUUCUUUGGUCUUACAUCCCAACGAGGAAAGAUCGAAGCAUAAAUAUGAUUCUCGAAAUGUUACAUGUAAGUUUGUGUUAUUCGGCACUACCUACGUAUGUUGUAGGUACGGAAGUGUACGUACUUCGUACGUGCCGAGACCCGCGUUGAACCCCAUCCACCAACUGAGCAAAUGUACAAAUCACCACCUUGCCAUCUACCUCCUACCAAAACUAAUAGAGCUAAAACUAGACAAGUUGGAAAGCAUGUACAUAUACCGCCGCACGACCAUCUUGUACCGAGGCUACCUUACGACAGCUAGCGACGGCAAACAGCAGGAUCAAAACGAGAGAGGGGGGCCCUUGAGCUCUCACACGCACUGAUAAAUCCUGCAAAUAUUCUCAUAAAAUUAAAUACCCAACCCGACAAUCCUUAGUCAAGCCUGUAGAAGACUGGUAAUAAGCUGCUGCUGUCCACUUCAGCGAAUAGUGCCUGCUGCCCGUUUUUCAACGAGUUUCGUAGCAGCGCCAGCAGCUGCUGCUGUCCACCGUCUGACCCAGAGAAUUGCAUGCACUGGGGGAGGCUUAUGGAGUUCCCUGAUGACCUGAUGAUCGCGCAAACCGUUGCGCCGCGCUGCUAGCUACAACCUUGGUAAAUAAAAAACUAUUAGGAAAUUGCGUGAGCGUCAUGGAGUAAGAUAGAAAGGUAAGAUUACUACGGGACCAUGAACCCCGGCCGGGCGUAUAUGUAUGGUAAUAGUGGGGGGGGGGUCGCGAUGAGUUUGGAGUCCCAGCAGCAGUCUCAACGUCGUGGAGUAAAUAUGCCACCAUGCGCUACGCAUACUACUGGUUGCGCAAAAGGGUCAGGAGGUGAAUCCCCACGCAAGCCCGCAGACAGAUGCAGAAACCAUGACCGGCAGCAUUUGGAGACGCAUACUGAUAGCUAGAUUUCUCCUACAAGGAGAUUAAAAUAGAGUUCUUGCAUUUUCGCAUCAUCAUCAUCAUCAUCACCAGCAUCAUCAUCAUAGUUCAAAUGCAUCAUACAUCUUCUCUAUCUCAUCGUAUAACAAUCAGAGAAUAGUGCCAGGGCAGCACCUUGGAUUAUUGAGACCGUAUGGCUGGUCGUUUGGAAAUGAGAAUAUGUUGACCUGCAAGCAAACAGCGUUAAUAUUAGUGUAAUGAACUGAUCUGUAUCGUUUGCAGAUAUGUGAGAUCACGUCGGCAAUCCAUGGUUGGUAAUGGAGACCUGACAAUAUACCUAGCUAUUCGCUAGAUAUAAUACAUCAGCAGGCCAAAACAACGCCAUGGAAAUCGCACUAGCAUUUUAUUGAAAAAAUAGAUAAUUAAGGGCGCAGGCGUACGAAAGUUAUGUUUUUCAUAAUCUACUAAAUAUAAAGGGCCCCUGGCGCAAGUUUAAAACUUAAGCUACUGAGCAACUGCUAGGUAAGAGCCUUUAACACCGGGGUGAAGUUUAUUAUUCUUCAUAGUAUACUGUCAUUACUAGUUUUACGAAUUUUUCCCUUGCUACUUGGAUGCGUUCACUGUGUGUCGGUGGGCAGUCGCAACUGUCCCUCGAAACGGGAGCCUCCGAGACGAACACGGACCAGCAUUUAUUAGCCAGUAUUUAUUACCCAGGACGAGCCGCGGCGGCGUGCACACGUUCGCGGUUACAGUCGCCCACCUGGCAUCGACCCCUGUAGCAAAACUUUGCAGUGGUGGCGCAAGGGCUCGGGUUGGAAACUAGCCAACAGAAGCGGGUCCCCACAGGGUCGAUGUCCCUACGCGGCCACAUGCCAGUAAGCAUUGCGAUCGUAAUUCAAUGUAGAAAUGUGUGUGUGGUUGUUACAGUGGCCUCCAGACUCACGAAGAUAUGUGCAAAUGUGGACAAUUCAAGCAAGCAGUAGUCACGGGCACAUCACUCCCUCAAAACCACUGUGCAGUCAAACGCAAACCUAAAGACAGGUCGGUAAUAAGCCUGCUGCUGGCACACACUUCAAGCGAUCAGGCUCAUUAUUACCUUAAUGCAUGAAGGCUUCCGAUGAUCAAGAUUCACAAUGAUGGAGUGAUAACGGCACUUACCCCAGAUUCGAAAACUUGAGGGCUACGAAGCUCUCAUUUGUGGCCGUCGUGUAAGAUGCUGUCCGGCAGGCAAUCAAAGAAAAGGGGCAGUCAUGGGCGGCCAUGGAAAUUAUGGGCGAGGGUGUAGGAAGUAGUUCAGCAUGGCGGGGUCAGAAGGCGGAUGGUCUGCAUGGCAACCCUGUAAGGUCAGCAUCCACACUCGGCGCCACACACGCACAGGCACACGCACACACACAUGCACACACACACGCACACGCACACGCACACACACAUGCACACGCACAUGCACACACACACACACACACACGCACACACACAUGCACACGCACAUGCACACACACACACACACACAGACACACACACACACACACACACACACACACACACGCACACACACAUGCACACAC
RNAcentral lists this long non-coding RNA (62282 nucleotides) under Volvox carteri. RNAcentral's name for it is "long non-coding RNA (VCAR_LNC001610)". Lineage: Eukaryota; Viridiplantae; Chlorophyta; Chlorophyceae; Chlamydomonadales; Volvocaceae. The record is from RNAcentral.